GCCCACAAACCUAAUAAAGAUGUGUUACUUUAUAUAGUAGCAGAUAAAUGAAAGUAUAGAGCAGAUAAGAUGUUUUAUAUUUUCCAUAUAUAAGUGAUCAUGCUUUAGAGAUAGCAAUUCAAUAUUGUUUAUUAUCUUCAUUAAUGUUCCUUCCUUCGUUUAUUACUACUACAACCCUCGAUUAGAAAAGUUUGUUACUCUCUUAAAGUAAUUUAGCUAUACGGACUGUUGACACGUGCAAACAAAUAAAAUAAUUAGUAUUAGUUAGGUAUAGAUGAACGCCUUCACCUCUCCUCACCCAAAUAAGUAGUUUUAUUAUUUAAUAAAUGAAAAUACAAUUAGUCAUUAAUUUUCAUCCUUUUGUAUUAAAAAAAAAAAUGUGCAAGAGAGAUUAGUUUACUGAAAAAAAUAUUAAAUUAAAAUUAAGAAAACAUGAUAAGUAAAAUGAACUGUUGGAGUAAUAUCAAAAGAACAAAACAUUAGUCAGAGUUUUAGAACCUUUCUUAGUUCUAGUCAAAUUUUAUUCACUGAUUUGCACAAAAUUAACUAAUGAGAAGGUAAUUUUAUUAAUUUACCCCUCAAAAAAAUUGUUGAAAAUUUACAAACCAGUAUAGCCUGAUAUGCAACUGUUUUGGUUGUUAUGCCACAAACAAUUUUGACAAUUGUACAAAUUAUCACUUUUUUUGGUAAUAGAAAGUUCCCUUUUAAUUGCCAAAAAGAAAAAAAAGUGAUCAACUAAUAUACUACGAAAAAACUCACCAAUAUGCACACUUCGGUUAAAUUUCUUUACUAAUAUGGCCUAAUUAUAUACAUUAGUUAUGUAUAUUAUAUUUAGAUAUAGAAAAUUUAUACAUUUACUUGCUAUUUUAUAGGCUAAAUCACCUAAAAACUUCGAACCGUAAUUAUCCUAACCUAACUAGUGCUCCCACAUUCACGCUAAGCUACAUUUUUCUAAACCCUAAGCUAAGCCCUAUUCUAAACCCUAAAUCCUAUUAUUAAUUAAAGAUUUCUACCAAGCAACUUACUCGUCACGGCGACGUUUAGUUGCUUUGUCUCUUUCAAAUUUUCUUUGUAUACGAAUUACUAGUGAUGAGGAGCCGAUGAAAAAGAACCUUUUAUAGGUUAAGACAGCAACAAGUAGAAUUGUCUUUUGUGAUUCGAUUUUUUUCGAAUCUUGCACGUUAUGGACACUUUAGUACAACAAUAACAACAAAAUCAGUAUAUUCCCACAUCGUAGAGUCUGGGGAGGAUAAAGUGUACGCAGUUUAUGCCACUAUCUCUAAAAAAGUAGAGAGACUGUUUUCAAUAGACCCCGGCUCAAGACGAUAUGAACACUUUAGUAUGUCGAACAAUCUUUUUAUUUUUUUUUUUUAAAUAAUACUAGUUGUAUUACAGAACUUUUUGAGUCUGGACUCUUGAAACCCAUUUCUGGAUAAUGUUUUUUAUACAUUCUUGGAAUUCUCAAUUAGUUAGAACUUAGAACAGUAGAUUCGAUAUGCUUUUGUAGACGUGGUUUUCUUUUCUUAUUCUUGACUAAUCUAUAUAUAUCUAUAUCUAUAUUUAUACUUUAUUAGAAGUGUGAAAAUUUUAAAGAUAUUAUUUGAAUUUUUUACUUUUGAUUGAAAGUUUUUAUUUUAGAUAAAAAAAAUUUUUUAUUUUUUUUUAAUAUUUAAGAAUUAAAAAUUAAUUAACUAUAUUUAUGGUAAAUCAUUUCUUAUUAGAAGUCAUCGAAGUUAGUGACAACUAAUACAUUUUUCAUUAGUUUAAUAAUUCUAAAUAAAUUAAAUUUAAUUUUAAGAAAAUUUGAAAAAUCUAGAAAUAAAUAUAAAAACGUUAAAAAAAGAAAAUUUUAAGAAGUAUCAAAUUUUUAGAAUUUUUAAGUACGUAAUAAGAAUGUAAUUUUUUUUUGUAAAGAUUUGACGUUAACAAGAAGAAAGUAUUUUAAAUGUAGAAAAAAAAUAAUCACAUCACAAAUAUGGUUCAAAUUGCUACGUCUCUCUUAGCCUCUGGCAGCAAGAGAAAGAUAUAUUGCAUGUUAAGCGCAAAAUUGACAAUCUAUCAAUCACAAAUAUAUAAUAUGUGUUAUUAAAUAUAUUGAAGUGUGAAUAAUAUUUGAAAAGUGAUUUGAAAAAACACCAAAAAUUACAUGCGAGACACGCGCUGUUAAAUUAGUUAAAAUGAAAAGAGUGAAAUCAAUAUAUGAUAAAAUAGCUUAAGAACUCGAAACCAGGAUUUAGCUUGAUUUAAUCUUAAUUAAGGGCUCUCAAAAAUAAUUUCCCUUCGAUCUAUUUUAAUUAUAAUUUUGAAAAGUUUUAUAAAAUACAAUAAGUUUGGAAUUUUUGUUUCUUAAAAGUUGAAAAGUAUUUAUUUUAACCGCUCAGCGAAAGUUAAGAUAAAUUUGAUACAGUUAUGGAGUUAAAACAAAUCCCACACUGCAAAGGGAAGAGAGCAUUUUAGUCUUUUCGAAAUAUUUGCAAUAAAUAUUCUUUUUGGCUAAGCUUCUUCACGGUUAAAAAUGUCUAUUUUUGUUAAAAGAAAAAGUUCUGGUGUACGUUUAGUUUGGUCAAGUUUAUACAAAAAUAAAAACAUAAAGUUACACGUUCUAUCCUUUAAUAGACUGGCUUUUAAUUUUUAUCCUUUAAUAGAUUAGUUUUUAAUUUUUGCCCUUUAGGAAUCAAACUUAUCUAGUGGGGCAUAAUUCACAAAUUGAAGACAUGCCUUUUGUGCUCAUAUGUAGUAUCUAAUUUUGGAGGCAAAGAUGUAUAUCCUCCUCCAUUUACUUGAUCUCAGGAAAAUCAUCAUUUAUUAUUUAUUAUGAGUGACAUAAAUUAAUUAUCAGUACAAAAUAGGGUAAAAAUUUAAAGAAUGUGUGUCUAUUUUUUUUAAAACUAGUAUGUUUUUUUUUUGAGAAUAUGACAUGCGUAUGGUGUCGAUAGUGAGAAGUACACUCAUCUUAGAAGAAAAUAACUUUUUAGUAGAUGCAUAAACUGUUUUUGAGAAGUUGAAAAUUGUAUCUUCCUCUCAAAAGUAUUUCUUUUUAGAAAUAUUUUAUAAGUACUUUUUACAAGUUUGAUCAAAUUACGUCUAAUCAAAAAUAUUUUAUUUUAUUAAAAUAAAAAUAAAUUUAAUCAAUUUUAAAAUUUAGCCAAACAAAUUAGGGGAAUAUAUAUUUGUUUUUUGUCAAUUAUGUCUGCCCAAUUAAAUCAUGUCUCAAUUUUCAAAGCACACAGCGACACUAUAUCUUAUGAGAUGUGAGUAUCCACGAGUAACACGCGAAGUAACAAUUAAAAGGAACUAAGUUAGCAAUUAGCAUCACGUUCCUUGCAUUUCAAUGUAUGCUUUUUUUUAAACACCAAAUAUUAUGUGCAAAUAAUUCAAAUGUAUUAUUUAAGCCUUCCCGUCCCAUUGAUAGCACAAAACAUAUCAUUGAAAUCGUAGAGUUUCCGUGAGAGUUGUGUAAUUUAAUUUAUAUAAUAGUUUCAUUUAGUUUUGUCAAUAUUUAAAUAUUAUCUAUAGAUUAAAAUUUUGAAUGAUUAAGUUUGACAUUUAAUUAUGCAUGAUUCAUUGUUUAUUUUAAAUAUAAUUUAAAUUUAAGAAAUAUUUGUAUUUCUUAUUAUAUUUUCAAACAGAAGAAAAACAAACAUUUUCUAAUGUAAUUCUUCUAUCUAUAUUUUUUAAUGAGUGUAAAAAGAAUUAAAGCGACAAUUUAAAUCAAGAUGAAAGAGUAGUAUUCAUUUCAAGCCCAUAAAUAGGAACUAGAAAUCCUAUAAUGCUAUGAUUUAUUUCUUUUAAAUCGAGCAGAAGGAAAAGGCAAAUAUAUAAAAAAGGAUUACAAGAUAAAAUAGAUCUCAUCAACAAUUAAAAGUUCAUCUUUAUAUAAUCAAGUAUCAGAACUCCUAAAAUUCCUAGUAAUUCUAUUAUUAUACGUAGAUCUAAAAUGAAUUUCAUAACUUUGACCACCCAUCAUCCAAAUCUUACUCGGUGAUCUUUGUCUAUAAUCUAUGACGCAAGAGUACAUCAACAUCACAUCACAUCACAUCAAUGCCAAAUUAUUACUACUAGUAUUGUUGCAAUAAUUAAAAAGGGGGUGAGAAUGUAGAAUGCUUAAGUCACUUACGGUAAAAACUUACACACAUCCGAUAAUCGGCAUGAACUUAAAUUUAAAUACAUGACAUGCAUGUAUUGACUUGGUGUAUAUAUCGGGUGCGUGUAAAUUUUACCCGUGACCUAGUGCAAUCUAGGGAAAAAUGAGUUUAGUAAUGCUUGGUGUCUGCAGAAUCAUUUAUCAAUGGGCUCGUUUAAGGAAGUGAAUAGUUAAAUUACUAAAUCUAUCCAAGUAUACAACUAUGGGAAUUAAAUUAGUAUUCCCUCCGUUAGCUUUUAAUUUUCACUUUUUGAUAUUAUUAUUUUAUCAUGUUAUGUUAUUCCUGUUAAUUGAUAUUUAGAGUAAUAUAUUUUGAAAAUGAUUUGAAGAAUAAGUAAGAAAGGUAAAAUAGAAUUUUUUAUUUUUUUUUGAUAUAUCAAAAGUGAUUAAUAAAAAUUGAAAUUUAAUUAAAAAAAUAGUGACAAGUAAAAAUGAAAAGAAAGUUCUAUAUUUGUUUAAAUAAAAUUCUUGAACAAUCUAUCCUUCUUAUUGGAUUCACUAGCUUAAAGAUUCGACGCCGGCAUCAAACAUAUGAGUUUCCUAUUCUAGAAAACAACGAAUUAUUUGCUAGAAUGAGACAUAUAAACUUUUUUUUUUUUUAACUUAUAUUUUUACAACAAAAUUUGGAAAUACAAUAGAUAAGCAGGAAAAGGAAACAAUAAAUUCUCGUAUUUCAUUUCUAAAAUAAUUAUUCUUUCAAGGAAAUAUAAAAUGUCCCCCCACCCCACCCCCAUCCCCAAUAUAGGAGUCCUAUCCCUUUUAAGUGUCUCUUUAGACUUUAAAAUUGAACCAAAAUGAGAGUGUCUUAAAAAAUAUACUAAUAUUGUUUUUUUACCGGAGUAAAUGAUGGAUAUUACUUUUUCUUUUCUGAAAAAAAUUCCAUACAUAAAAAGAAACAGAGAGCAACUUAGCGAAGUAAUUGUUUUAGCUAAUUUCUUAAUUCACUUUGUGGGGUAAUAUUUUUCUAAAAUUUGGGAACAUUUGCUAGGAAAACAAAAAUAUGGCCAAAGAGAACAACACGAAAUAAAAUUAAUCUUUUGUAGAGGUUGAGAGAAUAUUAAUCACCAUACACAAAUAUUUUAGAUUUCGAAAGUAAUAUUUUCUUUUUCAUUUUUCUCACUUUCUUCUUAAUCAAUUGAGCUACUAAAAUUCUCCAUUUUAUAUAGUAUAUAGUAGCGUACUCCCCAUAAAAUAUGCAUAGUUUUCUUAGUCCAAACGUGUUAAUAAACCUUGUGUGGAGCAUUAUUUUGUAGUGCUUCUCCCCCAUAAACUAUGCAUGCUAAAUUUAUCUUAGCCUCAAAUUUAAGCUAUAAUACAACUUUUCUAGAAGAAUAUUUGGUUUAAAACCUGUGUAGUUAUUCUUUUUAAAAAAAAUUCUAUCCAUUUUGAAAUGCCAACACAUUACACACCUACAUUGCUUGUAACCAAUAAAUAUAAGUAAAACAAAUUACUAGCUCCGUGUUUUUGAUAUAUCAAGAAAAUAUAACCAAAAAAUAAUUUUAUUCUUUAAAAUAUUUUUAAGACAUAUUAUUUAAUAAAAAUAAUAUAUAAAAUAAUAAUAUUAAUAUUCCCUCUGUCCCAUUUUAUGUGUCGCCAUUUGAUCGGGCACCGAGUUUAAAAAAUAAGGGAAGACUUGAUAAUAUUUACCAAAUUGUCCUUUAUAAAAAAAUGUGUUACUGUUUUUUUUUUAAUUAAGUGGCUCAAUAAAAAUAAAAGUGUAAUUAUAUUUUUAAAUAUUUACCAAAUAAGGAAAUAUAACAUUUCUUUUGGAACAAAUUAAAAAGAAAAUAAUGAUAUAUAAAAUAAAACGGAGGGAGUAAUUAUUUUCUUAACGAGUAUAGCGUGCCAAAAACUAAGAUUAGAUCCCCAAGUUGUUACCCCUGUCUCCAUAAACCCAAAAAUUCGAGUCCGAACAAAUUCCAUUCCCAUUUCUAAUGUACUCUUUAUUCGCGCCGUAUAGGAACUACUAUUCAUCCAAAAAGUAGCCAGCCUAACUAAAAUAGUCAAAUUUGACACUCCUUUUGCUUCCUUAGUGUUUUUUUCCCCAAGAAAGAAUUAAAAUCUCAAUUGCUCCUUCUCUUUCAUACUCGGUUUAUUUUAAAAUAAUUGAAUUAUUAAAAUAUGAUAUAUAUAUAUAUAUAUAUAUAUAAUUUUAUAAUUACUCUUUAAAUUAUUAUCUUAUAAAAUAUGAAAUUCGUAUAAAUUUCAUUAAAUAAAAAAAUCAAAUUGAAAGGAAUUUUUAACAUGUCUCUAAUGAACUAUUCAUAUAUUUUGAAUGUUAAGAAAUAGUUCAAUAAUUUAUUUAUUUUGAAAUAAAGGAAAUAAUUAUUAUGAUCAUUGUUUUAAUUUUUUGAAGAGUUAUUUGACAAAAACUAAAGAGGGCAAAAAUAAAAAGUAAUGUCUAAUUUAUGUCUGAAUUUUCUCUUCUUAAUAGUUGUGCAUUACCUUAGCAGUUCAUGAUAUAUAGAGAGUACUUUUACCCCAUAAUGGUAAUAUAAAUUCAAGAUUUUACGUUAAUUGUCUUUAUAAAAUAAGUACUUCGUUUAGUUCAUUUUAGUUGGCCUUCUUGUUAAAAUUAUUUGUUUUUAUUUAGUUGGCUUAUUUAAAAAAUUAUUUUUUUUAUUAUGUUCUUCUGGUAUUAUCUUUAUCAUCAAAUGACUACAUAAAUGUACUUCCUCUGUUCGCUUUUACUUGUCACCUUUUGACAUAGCACAUCCAUUAAGAAAAUAAUUAUUGAUAUGACUAUUUUACCAUACUAUUCCUAUUAACUAAUGUUUAGAAUAAUAUGUUUUUAAUAUGGUUUGAAGAAUAAACAAUUAUUGGUAAGGAUAAACUAUAAAAAAAAACUUUUGUCUUUUUUUUUAUAUGUCAAAAGUGACAAGUAAAAAAAUUAAUUAAGAAAAUAAUGACACGUAAUAGCAAACGGAGGAAGUAUAUACUCAAAUUUAUAUUUUUAAAGUAUUAAUUAAUAAGGUCAAUUUGAUAAAAUAAAUUUCUAAUAGAUAGUUUUUUAAGGAAAUAUCAAGUAAAUAAGAAUUAACUAUUUUAAAACGGAGGAGGCAUCUUUUAUAAUCUCUCAGUAUUAUUUUUAUUUUACUCCUAUAUUAAAAACAAUGUUUCACUUUACUUGUUUGUUUUUGAAAAUUAAGAGAGUUUUAUUUCUUUUUUCUAAUAUUAACUUGUUUGGUCGAAGUUAUUUUUUUUUAGAAGUACUUAUUUUUUUCUUAAAAGCGUCUAUUUUUUUUUAAAUGAUAUAUUUGGUUAAACUUUAGAAAACAAAAUGUUUCCAAGGAGUAAUAGAAACUAUUUUUUACAAGUUAAAAUAAAUAAUUUCUUUCUAAAAACACUUAUUUAAAAAGCAUUUUGAAAUUUAUUAGUUGAACACGUUUUUCAUUAAAAGUGUUUUUAUAAGAAAUACUUUUCAAAAUAAGUUGGCUUUAGAAGUUUGGCCAAAAUAUAAUUAACAAGGUAAUUUAGUAUUGGAAGUUUGGCCAAAAUAUAAUUAAUAAGGUAAUUUAGUAAUCUCAAUAGUUCAUAUUAAGUUAUUGAAACUUUCUGUAUAAUUCAAAACAAGUGUUUUUUUUUUUUUUUUUCCAAAUUCAAGAAAAUCAUUGGAUUUUUUUUUCAUAUACCCUUAAAUAUCUUUCUUAAAAGAUGAAUCAUAUCCUAAGUGAUUACAAUCACUUAAUAUGGCAAAAAAAUAAACCUCUAAUUAACUGCUUCAAAACUCAAAUUUACUAGAAGAGCAUGUGUUUUAAUGUGAGUAUAUAAUACAAUUUGAGUCAAAAAACUUAUCAUUAUGCUUCUUCAAGUUACUGUGUAAACUCUUAUCUUGCUCUCGCCAUUACAGUCCAAAAUCCAAAUAGUUUGUGUGUUUCUUCUCGUGUGUGUGUGUGAACACUCUUUNNNNNNNNNNNNNNNNNNNNNNNNNNNNNNNNNNNNNNNNNNNNNNNNNNNNNNNNNNNNNNNNNNNNNNNNNNNNNNNNNNNNNNNNNNNNNNNNNNNNNNNNNNNNNNNNNNNNNNNNNNNNNNNNNNNNNNNNNNNNNNNNNNNNNNNNNNNNNNNNNNNNNNNNNNNNNNNNNNNNNNNNNNNNNNNNNNNNNNNNNNNNNNNNNNNNNNNNNNNNNNNNNNNNNNNNNNNNNNNNNNNNNNNNNNNNNNNNNNNNNNNNNNNNNNNNNNNNNNNNNNNNNNNNNNNNNNNNNNNNNNNNNNNNNNNNNNNNNNNNNNNNNNNNNNNNNNNNNNNNNNNNNNNNNNNNNNNNNNNNNNNNNNNNNNNNNNNNNNNNNNNNNNNNNNNNNNNNNNNNNNNNNNNNNNNNNNNNNNNNNNNNNNNNNNNNNNNNNNNNNNNNNNNNNNNNNNNNNNNNNNNNNNNNNNNNNNNNNNNNNNNNNNNNNNNNNNNNNNNNNNNNNNNNNNNNNNNNNNNNNNNNNNNNNNNNNNNNNNNNNNNNNNNNNNNNNNNNNNNNNNNNNNNNNNNNNNNNNNNNNNNNNNNNNNNNNNNNNNNNNNNNNNNNNNNNNNNNNNNNNNNNNNNNNNNNNNNNNNNNNNNNNNNNNNNNNNNNNNNNNNNNNNNNNNNNNNNNNNNNNNNNNNNNNNNNNNNNNNNNNNNNNNNNNNNNNNNNNNNNNNNNNNNNNNNNNNNNNNNNNNNNNNNNNNNNNNNNNNNNNNNNNNNNNNNNNNNNNNNNNNNNNNNNNNNNNNNNNNNNNNNNNNNNNNNNNNNNNNNNNNNNNNNNNNNNNNNNNNNNNNNNNNNNNNNNNNNNNNNNNNNNNNNNNNNNNNNNNNNNNNNNNNNNNNNNNNNNNNNNNNNNNNNNNNNNNNNNNNNNNNNNNNNNNNNNNNNNNNNNNNNNNNNNNNNNNNNNNNNNNNNNNNNNNNNNNNNNNNNNNNNNNNNNNNNNNNNNNNNNNNNNNNNNNNNNNNNNNNNNNNNNNNNNNNNNNNNNNNNNNNNNNNNNNNNNNNNNNNNNNNNNNNNNNNNNNNNNNNNNNNNNNNNNNNNNNNNNNNNNNNNNNNNNNNNNNNNNNNNNNNNNNNNNNNNNNNNNNNNNNNNNNNNNNNNNNNNNNNNNNNNNNNNNNNNNNNNNNNNNNNNNNNNNNNNNNNNNNNNNNNNNNNNNNNNNNNNNNNNNNNNNNNNNNNNNNNNNNNNNNNNNNNNNNNNNNNNNNNNNNNNNNNNNNNNNNNNNNNNNNNNNNNNNNNNNNNNNNNNNNNNNNNNNNNNNNNNNNNNNNNNNNNNNNNNNNNNNNNNNNNNNNNNNNNNNNNNNNNNNNNNNNNNNNNNNNNNNNNNNNNNNNNNNNNNNNNNCACUCUUUCACAUUUUCAGUACUCCUUCUUCUCCUUAAACUCUUUCAGUUACACUUGUUAUCCAUGCAUAAAUUCCCCCCACCUCUUGCUAACUCUCAUCUUCCCACCAUCCAACUUCCAUUUUCAGAUGUUUGUGUUUAUUAAUGCUUACUAAUCUAGUACGUAGGUUCUUGUCUUUUUAAGGAGCUUGGGGGUCAUUUUUCUUUUUUCUUCAUUGAAUCAUCAAUGGAUAACAUGAAAAUCCAAUUUCUGUUAGUGAUUAUUUUUUUUCUGUUCGUUGUUCCGGCGAGUUCAUCGGCCAGGGAUAUCGCCAUUUUACUCCGGGUUAAGUCUGGUCAUCUCGGGGACCCAAAUGGUUUGCUUGCUAAUUGGAAUGAGUCUGCUCCAAAUGCUCCUUGUAGCUGGACUGGCAUUAGCUGUAAUCGGAAAACUGGUCAGGUUGUGGCCAUUGAGUUUGCAAGUUUUGGAAUUUCCGGUCGUUUUCCGGCUGAUUUCUGCCGGAUUUCGACUUUGCAGAAACUCAAUCUGGGUGAUAACAGUUUUGGUGAUUCUAUAUCACCUGAUUCUUGGUCUCUCUGUUCACAUCUUCACUUUCUGAAUAUUUCUUUGAACUUCUUUGUUGGUCAGUUGCCGGAGUUUAUUGCCCAGUUUGAUAACUUGACUGUCCUUGAUGUUAAUUCGAAUAAUUUCUCCGGUGAAAUUCCAGCGAGUUUGGUCCGUUUACCCAAAUUACAACAGCUGAAUAUAGCUAACAAUCUCCUGAAUGGUUCAAUUCCUGAGUUCUUGACGAAUCUUACCGAGUUGACUCGAUUGGAAAUUGGUUCAAAUCCAUAUAAGCCAAGCCCACUGCCUUCCUCAAUCGGUCGACUCAGUAAACUUCAAGUUCUCUUUUUUCGGUAUGCAAAUCUUGUUGGAGAAAUUCCAGAUUCCAUUAGAGACCUGAAAUCUAUUCAGAAUUUUGAUGCGGCAAUUAACAAUCUGACGGGAAGAAUUCCAGAAAGCUUGGGAGAACUGAAAACCAUACAACAAAUAGAGCUCUUUGGAAACCAUUUUUCAGGUGAAUUGCCUGAUAUAUUUUCGGGUCUUGGUUCUCUUUUCAUGUUUGACGUUUCUGAGAACAAUCUCACAGGAAAAAUACCUGAAUCCCUUGCCCGUUUGCACCUGAUAUCUCUGAAUCUCAAUGAUAACCAGUUAGAAGGCAAAAUUCCAGAAAGUUUAGCUCUUAACCCAAAUCUUUGUCAGUUCAAGCUCUUUAACAACAGAUUUUCAGGUACUUUACCUCAAAAUCUUGGUUUUUCAGAUUUAGAUGAGUUUGAUGUCUCCGGCAAUAAUCUAGAAGGUUCUUUGCCGCCUAACUUAUGUUCUAGAAAAAAGCUUAAGACUUUGAACCUGUUUAAUAAUAAGUUCAAUGGGCCAAUCCCAGAAUCCUAUGGGGAGUGUAAUUCACUAGCAUAUGUGCGUAUCCAUGACAACCAAUUCUCUGGUGAGUUACCAGCUGGUUUCUGGGGAUUAGCUAGAUACACAUUUCUUGAACUGCGAAACAACAACUUUCAAGGUUCAAUUCCAGCUUCAAUCUCCAAUGCUCGAGGCCUAACACAACUUCUUAUCUCUGGCAAUAGAUUUUCCGGGGAAUUGCCUGCAGAAAUAUGCAAGUUGGAAGAGGUUGUGAUCAUGAAUAUUAGCAAGAAUCAAUUAUCAGGGGAGUUGCCUUCAUGUAUCACAAGAUUGAAAACGUUACAAAACCUCGAUCUUUCGGAAAACAGGAUCACGGGUCAAAUUCCCAAAUCAGUUAGUUCUUGGAAUGACUUGACUGAAUUGAAUUUAGCUAACAAUCAAUUGACAGGUGAAAUUCCUGGUGAGCUUGGGACGUUACCGGUCUUAACCUACUUAGACCUCGCUGGAAACUUGCUUUCUGGCAAAAUUCCAUCGGAGCUGAGCAAGCUCAAGCUCAACAAAUUCAAUGUAUCAAAUAACAGGCUUGAAGGGAAAGUGCCUCUUUGGUUGGAUGACAAUUAUUUUGUCUCAGGUUUACGAGGUAACCCGGGUCUUUGUAGUCCGGAUCUUAAACCUCUGCCUGAAUGCCCAAAACCCAAAAGUGUAAGCUUGUACGUGGUGUGUAUUUUAUCAGCUUUCGCCUUCAUACUUGUCGGGUCACUUGUUUGCGUUUUACUCAAGGCUAGUAAGCUGCUACCAAUCCGGAGCAAGCAUAAAAGUGUAUGGAGGAUUACUGCAUUCCAACGGGUCGGGUUCACAGAGCGAGACGUGUUAGCUGCACUGACAGAUGACAAUCUCAUAGGAGCUGGUGGGUCGGGUCGGGUAUACCGGGUCAAACUGAAAAAUGGGCAGAUGGUAGCGGUGAAGAAACUUUGGGCGGCUAAGAGGGUAAGAGAAUCCGAGGAGGUGUUCAGGUCAGAGGUGGAGACAUUAGGAAGAGUCCGGCAUGGAAACAUAGUGAAAUUAUUGUACACUGGCAUUGGUGAUGACUUUAGGAUAUUGGUAUACGAAUACAUGGAGAAUGGGAGCUUAGGAGAUGUAUUACAUGGGGAAAAAAUUGGAUUGCUGUUGGAUUGGCCGAGGAGAUUUGCCAUAGCAGUUGGAGCAGCUCAAGGAUUGGCAUAUUUGCACCAUGAUUGUGUGCCUGCAAUAGUGCACAGAGAUGUCAAGUCUAAUAACAUUUUGUUGGACGAGGAUUUCAGGCCCAAAGUGGCUGAUUUUGGGUUAGCUAAGGCAAUGCAACAGGAUACUGAGGGGAGUGAUCAGGCCAUGUCCCAUGUUGCUGGUUCCUACGGCUACAUUGCACCUGGUAAGCUUGAAUUCCUUGUUGGUUUUCACCAUUUAUUUUAGGUCCAAUGGCUGUUAGAACUUUCUAGUCUUGUUAGAAAUUUUAUUUGCCAAUAGAAAAUGUUGAGAAUAUCUGGUUCUAAGAACACUUUCUUUAAAAAAUAAUAUUGGACUGGGAUAGUCGUAAAUGAUGCAUAUGGACAGCAGAAAUUCAUAAAACUGACCUUUACUUGUUUCAGGUCGAGGCCUAAAUGUUGUUGUUCUAUUUUUUGUGUUUACUUGUUGUAAAGAGACGUUUAAUAGUUUGCAUCUGGUAUAUCAAGGACAUCCAAAAAAUAGUUUGGUGGAAGUUUUGGUUGCUUCGCAUGCUAUCAUAAAAUUUUGAUUUGAUUUUAGAUUCUUUUAUAUGAAACCAGAGCACAUUUUAGGAUAGAUGUUUCAAACUUGUAUGUCGAUUGGAAAACCUUAAUAAUCUCCAUUUAACGGUAGCAUCUAGUGUCAUUCCUCUAACUGGACACUGGUUCUGAAGUCUGCUUAUUUUUAUUGCUUGCUAAUGCUUGAUUAUAAGUUUAACAAGGAGAUUUGUCAAAGUAGGAUGAAACAGGGGCGGAGCUACAUGUAAGUUAGGGGUUCAUCCGAACCCCCUUCGAUGAAAAAUUAUACUAUAUAUACAUGGUUAAAAUUAUUUUUUAUGUAUAUAUAGCAGAUGUCGAACCUCCUUUAGUUAGAACAUAUGUUCACUUGUGAACCCCCUUGAUGAAAAUUCUGGCUCCGCCACUAGGAUGAAAGAAUGAUUAGGCCCCCGAUUUUCGAAGUCUGUACGACUAUUUUGUACUAACUACCUAUAAUAUUUAAUCUCGAGUUUCAUUUGGGAUUUGUCAAAGUAAAAUCAACGAAUAGUUGGGCACUCUGCUUUCUGAAGUCUGCAUGACCAUUUAUUCUAUACCAGUAGUAAUAUUUAAUUCUGAGAUCACAUCAAAUUAUUGAAUGGUUUUGUCACCUAAUAUUUGUUAACACAGUCAAUAUUUGAUGGAAAGAAUAAAAAAUAGGAGAGCCAUGUAUGUCCUGUCACCUAGCGUUUGUAAACAUAUUCAAGGUUUGAUCUGAAAGAUUAGGAAUGAAAGAGACUUAUGCCUAAGUAUUGUUGCCCGGUAAUCUAAUUUAUCAUUAUCUUGAAUUCUAUUUGUUCCCAUGAAGUCCUCUUUGAUUGGACACACAAUUUCAUCUUUUUUGUAAAGUUGAUACUAUCUGGUCUGUGACUGCACAUCUGCCUUCCUUUGCAAAAGUUUGAAAGUUUGAAGAAUAUAGAAACCAACAUCCUUUAUGUAAAAAAUUUGAUGGCCUUUUGAUACCAGUCCAAAUAAAAGCAUUGCGCUUGCAAUUGCAAUCAGUUUGUUAAGUUGAUAUUGCAUAUUUAAUGAUUAGGAAGAUACUAAAGUUUCUAAAUAUCUUAUGGGGUGGAAAAUGUGUUAUUCAAGGUUUUCAGCUGCACUUUUAAGCUUAACCUUGAUUCCUUUGUUUCAAUUGCAGAAUAUGCGUACACUCUGAAGAUCAAUGAGAAGAGUGAUGUUUAUAGCUUUGGUGUUGUACUGUUGGAACUAAUAAUUGGUAAAAGGCCUAAUGACUCCUCUUUCGGAGAGAACAAGGACAUUGUCAAGUGGGUGUUAGAGGGUGCACCAUCGUCGAAGAAAGGCGAAGGAAUUGGCCACAUUACAGAUGGAAGUAGCAUUCUUGAUUUGAACCAGCUAGUUGACCAGAGAAUGAAUCCAUCUUCAAGCAAUUACACAGAGAUUAAAAAUGUUUUUGAUGUGGCUUUGCUUUGCACUUCGGCAUUGCCCAUUAAUAGGCCCUCCAUGAGAAGAGUUGUUGAAUUGCUGAAGGAUAGCUCCUUUCCCCGUCCCAAAUAAAUCCAAUAAAUAGCUUUUCACAGUUUCGACAUGUCCUUGCUUUAGUAAUUUGAUACUACUAUAGUAGACUGUAAAGAAUGUGGGAAAUUGGGUGUUUGUUUUGGUAUGCUUGAUGGGGCUUUGUUAAGUGUCAUCACGCAAGAUUUUUAGGUUGAUUUAGUUUGCUGCACUUGUUUAACAAGUGCCUUUUUAGAUUCUCCAGUACACAUAGUAGCUUAACUUAAAGCUAGCUGACCAUGUAAAGCUCGUAUGCAAAGGCUGAACAUUUGAGUUUUUGUUGCAAUAUAUGAACUUUACAUUCAGAUAUGACUAUUCCGUAUCCAAGAAUUAAUCUUUGCUGGGGUUGUAAUGAGAUUUGUCCACCCAAAGUCAAAAGUUAGAAUGUCAGCUCUUUUUGAUCUAUUUUUCAAUGGGCAGUAUAUUUUAAGAUAUUUCAAAGAAUUAUAUGUUGAUGGAAAUAAAUAAAAUGGCAGGUACUGUGAAUUUGUUUCAUAAUACACAGAAAUAUUUACCCGUUAAAUAAUUUUAAAAAAAUCAAUGGCGUGUGUCCAUUAACUUUAGACAAUGUCCCUCCAUUUAUUUAUGAUGUCUCCGUAGAAUCAGAGAAGAAAGGGAGGAGCAGAGCAGAUCCUGAGAAGUCUUCAUAAAGACCUUCUCCAUUGAAUCUAUCGCUCGCUCAUUCUGCAAAAAAUUUAUCCUUAAAAACACACACAUAAAAAAAGAGAAAGAUGAGGGAGUGCAUAUCCGUUCACAUCGGUCAGGCAGGUAUUCAGGUUGGCAAUGCUUGCUGGGAACUUUAUUGCCUCGAACAUGGCAUCCAGGUCUUAUCCUUUUCUAGAAUGAUGUUAGCAUGCAUAAGUCAAGAAAAAAAUUCUUUCCAUUAAAAAAUAUAUAUUUUUCAUUGUUGUUUGUGUAUAAAAGUAUAUGAUACAUGGUAAUCGUACAAGGUUCUAUGACACAGAAUGAAGAGGAUAUUUUCUUAAUAAUUACAAUUAUAUCCACAUAUUGGUUGAACCUUGCGAUACGGAGUACAAGUUGAGAUAUUUGUGAAGGAAAAUGAUUUUUGUUCAUACGUAUUGGAUAUUGAUUGAAAAUAUUUUUCUUAGAGGAGAUUUUCACAAGUUACAUAAGGUUGAAAAUGACUUUAUUAGAACAACAAUAACAUACCCAGUAAAAAUGCCACAAAUGAGGGCUGGGGAGGGUCCCAUACUAUACAAGAAAAAUCGAAGCCACACUUAAACUAUAUAAGUAACCUAUUACACACCUUAACUAUAUAAAUGUGAUAUUAUUACCUCCCCGCAACCCCCAUUUUAAGGCGCGUAUGUUACAAUUAUUUUAGGCGCGUCCAACCUAUUAAAUAACAAAAGUAAACGGCUAAAAACAUUAAAGGAACAGACAUCGUUUCCACUCCAAACUAUAGUCGAAAAGUCGAAUCCACACCUAAACUAUAUAAGUGACCUAUUACACACCUUAACUAUAAAAAAGUGAUACUUUUUACUCCCUAGAUCUGAAGUGAAAAAUGCAUAAUUAUUUAAAUAAAAAUUGACGAGUUUAAAUUAAAAAUUAAUGUAAAAUUUUUUUAAAAAAAUUAAAAUACUCCUCCCCCAACCCCUAGCAUCCAUCUCCCCACCCCCACCCCCAAACAAUCAUCUUCUUCAUCCCCCUCCAACCCCAAACUCCAACCCCAACCCCAAACCAUCUUAUUCUUCAUCACCCCCACCUCAACCAACACAGUUUCUUCAUCACCCCAUCCCCAAAUAACACAAUUCAUCUUUCACCUUCAUCGAAUCAAUGUCAAUUUCACAAUGAACACAAUCAAAUUGUAUUUGAUGUUUAAACGGGCAAAACCAAAUUUUAUAAAAAAAAAAAUAUAAAAUUUUGUAGCAAGGAUAUUUUUUGGUUAAUUCUCGUCGGAAAAGUCAUAUUCAUCGUCGACUUUCUCCUCUCUGUCUGUUAGUUAUUAAUCCAUCAAAAAAUGUAGCUUGCUACCAUAUUAGUUUUUUUUUUUUUUUUUAAUUAUAGCUGAAAAAUAAAUAGAAAAAGUACGAAAAUGUCUUGGUCAUUACCAUUUAAAACAUAGAGGCCAACAAUUGAGUGACCAUUUUUUGAAACAAUAAUGGCCAUUAUAGAUGAGAUUUUUUUUAUUUUUUUUUUAAGAAAAGACGAUGGGUUACGGAUGAAGAACAAUGUUAGAAGAAAUUAAUUGUUAUGGUAAUUUUAUUGGUGGGAUAAAGUUUAUGGUGGUGAAUAUGGUGUAAUGAAGGUAAUGGAGGUUUUGGACAUUGACAACAAUGGAGGUUUCAGACAUUGAAGAAGAAGGAAAAAAAUUAAAUUAAAAAGAAAAAGAAAAAAUUAUGAAAAUAAUAAAUUUAUUAUUUUUUCGGAUUAUGCUGACAUGGAUGCUGAUGUGGCAGCGCGUGUAAAACACCACACAAGUGGUGUAAUGCCUGACAGGGUGUAAAAAAUAUCACUUUUUUUUAUAGUUAAGGUGUGUAAUAGGUUACUUAUAUAGUUUAAGUGUGGAUUCGACUUUUCGACUAUAGUUUGGGAUGAAAACGAUGCCUUUUUCCUUAUUUUUUUGGAUUAUGCUGACGUGGCAGCGCGUGUAAAACACCACACCACAUGAAAGUGAGGUAAUGUCUGACAGGGUAUAAAAAGUAUCACUUUUUUAUAGUUAAGGUGUGUAAUAGGUCACUUAUAUAGUUUAGGUGUGGAUUCGACUUUUCGACUAUAGUUUGGGGUGGAAAGGAUGUCUUUUCCUUAUUUUCUAUGAAAAAUCUUUUACCACCAUACCAAACAAUGAGAUCAAAAGGCUAUUAUGAGGAUUGAUGAUAAAUUAUGCAAUAGUUGUUAUAACAAAUCCCAAAAUGAUGGAAGCAAAUAAUUGUUUCCUAAUAACAGAUUUCGCACCACUGGAUAUCUUAAGAAAUUAGUGAAUUGAUACAAGUGUAGUAGGAUAAGAAGAGAAAACAAUUGGGAUUCAAAAUUUAGUUAGUUCUGUUAAGUACUGUAGCAAAGUCUGUUUUUACUGUUGUAACAGAAUUACUGUAGCAGAGUCCAAGAGUUAGUUAGGCAGUUAUCAAGCAAUGAUUAGGUAUAAAUACUCAUGUGUAAUGAUUCACAGCUAUUCAGAAAAAUCAUAAUACAAUUCUUCUUCUCUCUUAUUUUUUCAACUUAGCUAUUCUUCUUGGGUAUACCCUGUUGUUAGCUCUCUUCUUUCUCAAGGUUAACCUGCUGGAGUGAUUUAGUUCUUCGAGGUGCAUUAAUUGAUAUCAAGGUUCGUGAUUCUCUACUAAAUAAUCAUGGUUGAGUGUGACAAAAACGUGGAUAAAUCAACAGAAGAGGUCGAUGGAAAAUUGUCACAAAUCCAAGAUCAAUUGCAGAAAUUGAUGGAUGGAAUGUUAAGCAUGAAUGAUCGAAAUGCGCGUACAGAUAAGGAAUUAAUGGAGAUUAAAUAAGCUUUGGGGAAUUGGAAUCAUAAGGAAAGAGAUAUAAAUGAAAGCAGGGCUAAAUCUUCGGUAGUUGGUGAUGAACCAAGAGGUCUAGGUUGUUCCCAACAAAAUAGAGAAUUUCAGAAUUCUAGUGGUAAAUUUCUUACUCGUUGUUCUAAGCUUGAAUUCCCUGGAUUCUCUGCCUAUGAUUUGCGAACCUGGUUGUAUAAGGUGGACCAAUUUUUUGCCAUGGCCGAGGUUCCACCUGAUCAAAUGGUUAGGGUAGCUUCAAUUCAUCUAGAUGGGGAUGUUAUAGCUUGGCAUAGGUCAUAGAUGAGAGCUAGAGCUGCUGCGAAAGAUUCUUCUUGGUCUGAGUAUGUACUGGCCAUUAAUGAUAGAUUUGGUGAUAGUUUUGAAGAUCCAAUGAAAGCUAUUAAGAAUUUACAACAGACUGGUAGUGUGAAAGAUUAUCAAGAUGAGUUCGACGGGUUGUUAUGUGGGGUAAAUUUAUCUCAUGAAAAUGCCCUGAGUUGUUACUUAGGGGGUUUGAAACCUGCACUUAACAAAACUGUUUGGACUCAGACUCCAAUAACACUUCACCAAGCCUACAAAAUCACUAGAUUGCAAGAAGAGGUUUUUGAAGCUCAAGUUCAAUCUUGGGGUUUCAAGAUGCCAAGCUUAUUACCUACCCCUAAAACUCCUUUUCUACCAAGACCCUCUACUAACACACCUGCAGUUAAGAAGAAUGUUGGGACUCACCAGGUGACUAGUCAGAUGGUACAUCAAAAUAUUAUUAGUAAAUUCCCAAGUAGAAGACUUUCUGUUGCUGAAAUAAAUGAGAAAAGGGCAAAGGGCCUUUGUUUCUUCAGUGAUGAACCUUAUGUACACUUAUGUAACUGUAGAAGUAAGAAACAACUAUUUAUGGUACAGGUAUUGGAAGAUGAAGAUACUGCAGAGAUAAGUGAUGGUGAUGUAGUGCAAGAAUUGCUUAAUGAACCUGAAGACUGAAUGACUAUAUCACUUCGGGCUUCUACUGGUGUUUCUGGUUAUCAAACUAUUAGAGUCAUAGGGUAUCAUGAGAAAAAGCCCUUACAGGUGUUAAUUGACACUGGGAGUACACAUAAUUUCAUUGAUCAAUCUAUAGCCAUAAGGUUGGGUUGUCAGGCUGAUCCUAUAGUGGGACAAUCUAUCAGCAUUGCAGAUGGUAGAAAAGUGCAGACUGCUGCUGUGUGUAAAAUUCUGCAGUGGUUACUACAAGGUACCACCUUCUCUUCAAACUUUUUGUUAUUACCUUUAGGGAGUGUGGAUAUUGUGUUGGGAGUUUAAUGGUUAAGCACAUUGGGAGGGAUACUAUUUGAUUUUAAGAACAGAACAAUUGCAUUUGUUUACAUGGGCAAGAAACAUGUGUUGAGAGGAGCUAGUGAUAAACUUAAUUCUGCUAAGGCAAAGGAGAUGAUUAAACAAGAAGCACAAGCUGCUCAAUUGUUUAUGUUAUCACUGGUGGAUAGUACAAUAUCUGACACUAGUUGUUACAAUAUCCAAGCUACUUCAUCUGGUAUAAAUCCUGUCUUAGAUUCUCUAGUUAAAGAGUACUCUUGUUUGUUUGAAAUACCUGGCACACUACCUCCAUACAGAGGUGUGUUUGACCACAAAAUUCCAUUGAUUGAGUCUGCUAAUCUAGUCAGUAAAAGACCUUACAGAUAUCCAGCUUUCAAGAAGGAUAUCAUUGAGAAACUUGUGCAAGAAAUGAUGGAACAAGGGGUAAUACAAAAUAGUACUAGCCCUUAUGCUUCUCCGGUGGUGUUAGUAGGGGAAAAAAAGGGUACAUGGAGGCUUUGUGUGGAUUAUAGAAGCUUGAAUCAGUUGACUAUCAAAGAUAAGUUUCCUAUACCUAUGAUUGAAGACUUGCUUGAUGAAUUAGGAGGUGCUAUGUUGUUUUCCAAACUAGACUUGAGGGCAGGGUAUCAUCAGUUGAGAAUGGACAAGAAUGAUACGUAUAAAACUUCUUUUAAGACUCAUGCAGGUCAUUAUGAGUUUUUAGUAAUGCCUUUUGUCUUAACUAAUGCAUCCUCUUCCUUUCAAGGGCUGAUGAAUGCUGUUUUUAAACCUCUACUGAGAAAAUCAGUUCUUGUACUCUUUGAUGACAUACUCAUCUAUAGUAAGACUUUGAAUGAUCAUGUUGCACAUAUUAAGGCUGUAUUUGAAUUGAUGAAGCAAUAUCAGUUAUGCAAAGAUGUCCAAGUGUGCAUUUAGGGUGGAUAAGGUAGAAUACUUAGGCCAUUACAUAAGUGCUGAAGGUGUUUCAACUGAUCCUAAAAAGAUCAGUGUUGUGCAACAAUGUCCAUUUCCAAGCAACAUCAAGCAAUUGAGGGGUUUCUUAGGUUUUGCUGGAUACUAUAUGAGAUUUAUUCAAGGUUUUAGUGCUAUUUGUAGACCACUACAUGACCUGUUGAAAAGGGAAGGAUUCAAUUGGUCUAAACAGGCUACUACGACAUUCCAUGCACUCAAAUAAGCUCUAGUUUCUGUACCUGUGUUGGCUAUGCCUAAUUAUUCCUUACUUUUUGUGGUUGAGACUGAUGUAAGUGAAAAGGGAAUUGGUGUUGUGUCAAUGCAACAGGGUCACCCCAUUGCAUAUAUCAGUAAGGCCUUGGCUCCAAAACAUCAAGCCAUGUCUGUGUAUGAUAGGGAAUUGUUGGCUCUUAUAUUUGCUGUUACAAAGUGGUCCCAUUACUUGUUAGGGAGACAUUUUAUUGUUAGGACUAAUUAAAAGGCAUUAAAACAUUUGUUAGAUCAGCAGAUACACACUGACUUUCAAGUUGCAGGAAUUUCUAAACUCAUGGCUUUUGAUUUCUCUAUUGAGUAUAAAAAGGGCUCUGAUAACAAGGUUGAUGAUGCCUUAUCUAGAAUGCCUGAUGCUGAACUCUUGGCCAUAUCCAUUUUGUCUUCACAUGAUGUUCUAUAUGAUGAAAUUAAAGAGAGUUGAAUACAAGAUCCUAAGUUGCAGGAAAUUAUUACAAGAUUACAGGUUCAACCUUUAAGCACUAUACUUGGUGUCAUGAACAAUUGAGAUGGAAAGGUAGAUUGAUGGUGGGUGAUGAUCCACAAUUAAAAAGGAAGAUCAUGGAAUUAUGGCAUAACACUCCUCAAGGAGGACACUCAGGGAUGAAUGCAACUACUUGGAGAUUGCAGUCACUAUUCUAUUGGAAAUUCCUUUUGCAGGAUGUUAGAUCUUUUGUACAACAGUGUGACAUAUGCCAAAGAAACAAGUAUGAUGCAACAACUUAUCCGGGUUAUUUGCAACUUCUUCCUAUUCCUGAAGGUGUGUGGACUGAUGUUUGUUUAAAUUUUAUUGAAGGUCUUCCUAAAUCAAAUGGGAAGGACGUCAUAUUGGUUGUGGUUGAUAGAUUGAGCAAGUAUGGUCAUUUCUUAUGCUUGCACCAUCCUUAUACUACUCAAUCAGUAGCCUAAUGUUAUUUGGACCAUGUUUUUAAGCUUCAUGGUAUGUCAGUGACAAUGACAAGUGAUAGAGAUCCUGUGUUCUUAAGCUCUUUUUGGCAAGAACUUUUUACACUUCAAGGUGUUCAAUUGUAAAGAUCCACAGCUUACCAUCCUCAGACUGAUGGUCAAACUGAGGUGCUCAACAGGACUUUGGAGACUUACUUGAGAUGCUUUUGCUUAGACAAACCUAAGGAAUGGGCUACAUAUAUACCCUUGGCUGAGUAGUGGUACAAUACCACUUACCAUUCCAACAUUAAGUGCACCCCUUAUAAGGUGUUGUAUGGUCAGAAACCUCCUAUCCAUUUGCCUUACUUGGUUGGUGAGAGUGCUUCUGAGAUGGUUGACAGGUCACUACAAGCUAGAGAAUCCAUCAUUCAGCUGCUGAAAUUUCACAUGGCCACAGCUCAACAAAGGAUGAAAGACAUUGCUAAUAAACACAGAACUAACCGAUCAUUUUCAAUAGGUGAUUGGGUGUACUUAAAACUUCAACCUUAUAGGCAAGUUACAGUAGAUACUAAACCAUUCAAUAAGCUUGCAACUAAGUAUUUUGGACCUUAUAUGGUGGAGGCUAGGAUUGGAGCUGUUGCAUACAGGUUGUUGUUGCCUAAGAAUGUUCUUAUUCAUCUUACUUUCCAUGUUUCUUAGCUCAAGAAGUGUUAUAAAGUCCCCAUGAGCUUCAACCAUCCACCUGUUCUGCACUUAUCUAGUCCCUUUUGUCCUGCGCCCGAGUCAGUUCUACAUAGGAGGAUGGUCAAGCGCGACAACAAGGCAGUAGAUCAAGUCCUAGUCAAAUGGACUGAUCUUGAUGCAGCUCAAGCAACUUGGGAGUUUGUUUCAGAGUUAUACACUAGGUUUCCUGGUUUCCAUCCUUGAGGACAAGAAUGUUCUUCACGGAGGGGCAUUGAUACAAGUGCAGCAGGAUAAGAAGAGUCAAAACAGUUGGGAUUCAAAAGUUAGUUAGUACUGUAGCAAAGUCUGUUUUUACUGUUGUAACAGAAUUAUUGUAGCAGAGUCCAAGAGUUAGUUAGGCGGUUAUCAAUCAAUGAUUAGCUAUAAAUACUCAUGUGUAAUGAUUCACAGCUAUUCAGAAAAAUCAUAAUACAAUUCUUCUUCUCUCUUAUUUUUUUAACUUAGCUAUUCUUCUCGGGUAUACCCUAAACUUAGCUCUCUUCUUCCUCGCGGUUAACCUCCUGGAGUGAUUUAGUUCUUCGAGGUGCAUCAAUGAUACUGUCGAUUAGUUUUGUCUCAAUCCUAAUAUUUCCUGAAAUUUUUGUGUUUAUUAGCCGGAUGGCCAGAUGCCAAGUGACAAGACUCUUGGGGGAGGUGAUGAUGCCUUCAAUACAUUUUUCAGCGAAACUGGCUCAGGGAAGCACGUUCCUCGUGCUGUUUUUGUUGAUCUUGAGCCCACUGUUAUUGAUGAAGUGAGAGCUGGAGCAUAUCGCCAGUUAUUUCACCCUGAACAAUUGAUCAGUGGCAAAGAAGAUGCAGCAAACAACUUUGCACGAGGCCACUAUACAAGUACACAUUCUUCACCUAAUUCAAUUGUACCCUUAGUUUGAACUUGUGAUGUAACUCUUAUUUAAAGAGUUCAAUUUUUUUUCCUUUACCAGUUGGAAGGGAGAUAGUUGAUCUUUGCUUGGAUCGUAUCAGAAAGCUCGCAGACAACUGCACUGGUCUGCAAGGUUUUCUGGUCUUUAAUGCCGUUGGUGGAGGCACUGGUUCUGGUUUAGGUUCACUUCUGUUAGAACGUUUGUCAGUGGACUAUGGUAAAAAAUCCAAGCUCGGGUUUACUGUGUAUCCCUCUCCUCAGGUUUCAACUUCUGUCGUGGAACCAUACAAUAGUGUUCUGUCAACCCACUCCCUCUUGGAACACACAGAUGUUGCUGUCUUGCUUGAUAAUGAAGCCAUUUAUGACAUUUGUCGUCGCUCCCUUGACAUUGAACGCCCAACCUACACCAACUUGAACCGAUUGGUGUCACAGGUAUUGGCAAUUUUAACUCUUGCCAUUUUGUAACCGUUCAAGCCUAGCUAUCAAGGUAUUGUGUGUUUCUGGUUCAACUUUUGGGGCCCCACGAUCUUGUUCCCUUGGAUUUUAACCAAAAAAAUUGGGCCAGGGAUGACAAUACCUUGUCAGUUGGACCGCUACACCUUUAGAUGAUUUUGCUUCUCUGAUUAAUGCAUGUGAUGAGUUUUCUAAUUUCUAUCAGGUGAUCUCAUCUCUCACCGCUUCCCUGAGGUUUGAUGGAGCUUUGAAUGUUGAUGUGAACGAAUUCCAGACUAACCUGGUCCCUUACCCAAGGAUCCACUUCAUGCUUUCGUCUUAUGCUCCGGUUAUAUCAGCUGAAAAGGCUCACCACGAACAACAUUCUGUGGCAGAAAUCACCACAACUGCUUUUGAACCAACUUCUAUGAUGGCCAAGUGUGAUCCUCGUCGUGGCAAGUACAUGGCGUGCUGCCUAAUGUAUCGAGGAGAUGUGGUUCCCAAGGACGUGAAUGCGGCUGUAUCCAUUAUCAAAACCAAACGUAGCAUUCAAUUCGUUGAUUGGUGUCCAACAGGCUUCAAAUGUGGUAUCAAUUACCAAACUCCAACUGUUGUCCCCGGAGGCGAUUUAGCCAAAGUACAAAGAGCAGUGUGUAUGAUAUCCAAUUCGACAAGUGUUGCUGAGGUUUUCUCUAGAAUCGACCACAAAUUUGAUCUAAUGUACGCGAAAAGAGCCUUUGUUCAUUGGUAUGUUGGUGAAGGGAUGGAGGAAGGUGAAUUUUCUGAAGCCCGUGAGGAUUUAGCUGCACUUGAGAAAGACUACGAGGAGGUGGGUGCUGAGUAUGGGCAGGGUGAAGAGGGUAGUGAAGGAGAAGAAUACUAAUAACUGAUGGAUCAUUAUUAGAUGUUUUUCUUAUUGUUUUCUCUUGAUUUCAGCAUGCUUAUUUAGCACUGAAAAUUUGCAACAAGAGAUCUCUACUUUAUACAUGUACCUGCUAAAUUUGAUUAUGUGAUAUUGUGUAAUUGUCUAAGUCAUUUUCUUGAAAGAUGCAAAGUGUGAUAAAUUGUAUAAAAUAAUUUUUCAUUAUAUUUACUAUUUUGAAGUAUAAAACAAAAUGAAAAAUCUCUUCUAAUAUUUGUAGAGUUUGAACAGAUUUAGAAAAAAAAAUUAACAAUACUCAAUCUUUAUCCAGGUAUAUGUGGCUAUCAAUUUCUUUGGCUCGUGGGUUUGUGUUUCUUUUGGACUUUCGAAUAUGCAAUUAAUUAUUUACUUAGUCACAAUGCUUAUCAAGAAUGUUAGAUAACACUUUGAUAUUUCGAGUUCAUCAUGAGGUGAAGUAAUGCUCUAUUUGAUCACUUUGACUUUGAGAAAGACAAUAUUUGAAGUCUUAAUUUGUAUAUAAAUAUCAAGAAUUUAACAAAUAUUUAAGAUGUCUUCUCAAAGAAAGAUGUCUUUCUUUUUUGGAGUUUUACAAAAAUCACUGUGAAUUUUUAAAGUAUACUUGGUUGUGUUCUUUAAAAUUAAAAAAUUAACUUUAGAGAAUUAUCAUUUCGAAAACGCAGAAAUAAAAUAAAAUUCUGCAGAUGUCUAUUUUAAAAAAUUCUCAAACAAACACAACUUAAAACUCCGUCAACAUUCCAAGAGCCCCUACAUGCAAGUCGGACCUAAAAAACUCUUUGCACGUGCGAGGAGGUAAAGCGUGCGAACCUGAUUAAUAAUAACAGGAACGAAGGGCAAUAGUGUAUAUACUGUAUACAUAGACGGAAUCGUCAAUCCAGCAUCACAGAGAAAGAAGAAAAAUCCCUAAAUGGCGACGGCGAUGUUCAGAUCUAGUAUUCGCUCCGCCCUCCGCGGCGGCGCAUCUCGUGUAACGCCGGCAUCAAAGAGGACUUUCGCUUCCCACGCCUCCGUAGAAGAAGAGGCCCGUAUGUAAACUUUAAUUAAUUUUCUAUUUGGAUUAGGUUUCCCAUUUGUAAACCUUAAUACUGAUUUUUCUUUUAUAUACUGAUUGUUAGAAAUCACAAUUUUUGAUUUUCUCACGGAUGUUUAUUUGCUUGAAUAGAACCUAGAUCUUAUCUUCUGUUGGAAUGUGAUUAAAGAGAAACUGAAUUAGAUGUGCAUUUCGUUAAAAAUGAGAAUUAUGAAAUUGGCUUGAGCGGUAUUGAGCUAUUGAUAUAAGAUUGGUAUGAUGAUUCUUACUAGUUUGGGAUAGAGAUUUAGUGGAUUCAUUUUGCUUAAAGUGAUUAACUUGAACGUGUAUCUUCAUAUUCUGUUGGAAUGUUAUUUAAGUGAAAUUGACUUAGAAUUGCAUUUUUUUAAAAAUGAUAACUUGUUGAUAUAAAAUUGGCCUGAGUUGGAUUGAAUUAUUGAUAUGAGAUUGGUCUGAUGAUUCUAAUUAGUUUGGGAUUGAGGCGUAGAAGUUUUGUUUUUGCUUAAAGUGAUUAACUUGAACGUGUAUCUUCAUAUUCUGUUGGUGAAAUUGACUUAAGAUGUGCAUUUUAUUAAAAUGAUAACUUCUUGAUAUAAAAUUGGAGUGAGCUGGAUUGCACUAUUGAUAUGUGAUUGGUAUGAUGAUUCUAACUAGUUUGGGAUUGAGGCUUAGUAGAUUUGUUUUUGUUUAGAGUGAUUAACUUGGACGUGUAUCUUCAUAUUCUAUGGCCAGGGGAAGCUGCUAAAUGGGAGAAAAUCACUUACGUUGCAAUAAUAACCAGCACUAUUCUUGCGGUGGUUAAUCUCGCCAAGGGUCAUUCUCAUAGUGAAGAGCCUCCUGUAAGCUUUGUCUAUGAAUUUGUUUUACUUUCUUUGAUGUCAAUAAUCUUAGUUUUUUUUGGUUCUCAACAGUAGGUUCCGUGUCUAUCUUGUCGUUUUAGAUGCAGAUGUUCGGUUAAUUUUAGAAAUUCAUAUUGUUUAUGUCUAUCAGAGGGAUGUUCACUUGGUCCUUUUCAAGUAGUGGAAAUGCUUGUUUGGUCCUUAUAGUCCUCGUAAUAGCCUUAAAAAUAGUGUAAAUAAGUGCAAUGUGUAGGAAAAUAUCAACAUAUUCAUAAUGAUACAACCAUUAAAAGGUUUAAGCAGCUGGAAUUUUUACCAACACUUCCUUUUGCAAGGGGGAUCUUUAAGUGUUUAACGUAUUAAAUUCAAAUUUAAAGAGGGUAGUUAUGGCAUAACUCCUUUUUUUUUUUUAAAACAUCAUGAUGAGUCUCUGGUUAGUUUCCAGAGAAAUAAAAUUCUAUGAAUAAGAUGACAUGAGUUCACUGUGUUGACACCCAAGUUUGGCAUAAUAUUGGCAAAAUUAAUACUUUUAGGCUUCUUAUUUGUUAAAUAACAUACAAUAUAAUUUUUACACACUAUUCAAUUUUAACACAAUUUAUUGGUACUUAUCCUUAUUUCUAAAAAUAUUAGGAUUUUUAUCAAUUUAUUAUCAUUUUUUAGUUAAUUUCAAUUAUCGCUAGUUUUGGUCACAUCCAUUUUGUAUGUGAACAAAAUUUGUUUCAGUUUUAUUAAACUAUCAUUGAUUGUUAAUUCAAAUCACAUUUUUUACAUGACAUUAGAUACCAUUUUAUGUUUUAUUAUUUUUAGAACAGUCUAUUUUUUUUUAUUACAGGUAAAUUAAAUAGCUUAUGGUAUUGGACACAUGGUUUUAGAUAGCGCUUAAUAUUGGGUACAUGGUUUUUAAAAGCCCAUGGUAUUGGGCAUAUGGUUUUGAACAUAAGAUGGUUUUAUCUUGUCUAUAUAACUAAUUCAUUCUCUUUACAAUUUUGGGUGGUGAAGGUAGCCUAAUAUUCACGUAUCGUCAAUAAUAUAGAUAAACACAGCGAGCAUUGAAGUUUCCUUUUCCAACAAAGUCACUUGAAUUUCAUCUUAUUAUUAUUACUUUCUUUCCAAAUCUAUAGCGAUAGGCAGAUAAUGUGAUUAAAACAGAGAAAAAUAAGGUCGCUGGAGAACUUUUUUUUGAACUAGGUAACUUAAGGUCGCUGGAGAAUGUAAUACAUUGUUGUCAGAAAACGUCAAAAAUAAAACCCAAGCCUGUAACAAACAACAAUAGUGAUAAUUGUUGAGAAAAAAAACAAUGAACAUCACCAGAGUUUUAAGCUUGGCCAGAUUUCAGAAACGGGAAGGGAAAAGGGAAAAAGAGACGACGGACAGAGUUGGUGGCGGGCAGAUCUGGUUCGCAAGUUUGAGCCCGCUGUUGAGGGAAAAAACUGGUGAACAGCAUCAUGAGAGUUCUCUGAUUCACCUGAGUUUGGAACCGUUGGUGUGUCGUGAUCAUGGCUAGGUUGUUUUUCUGGAGUUCGCUAACUCUGACAGAAACGAAGAGAGGGUUGAAGGGGUUGGUCGAUUGUUGGGAGAAGGAGGCGAGGGAGAGAGUUGCGGCGUGGUUAGGAUGUGGUGUUGAGCUCCGGUGAGCUCGCUGGUGGCUGGUUGUGUUGCUGUUGUGGGCUUGUGGCAUUUUGCCGGAAUUCGAUGUGAGGGAGAGUUAAAAGGCGUGAAGCAGCUAGUGGUGGUGGUCGUCAUUGGUUGUUAGUGGUGCAAUUGUUGGAGUUCUGGCAGUGGGUAAAGGGAGUGAUACUCAUGAGUUAUUUCUUUUAGGGGAUAGAAAAUGGGAGAGGACGGUUUUUGGGCUGUUGCCAAAUCUGUAAAUUUUUCACCAUCCAAAAUUGUACGGAGAAUGAGUAAGUUUUAGAGGCAAAGUAAAAUCAUCUUAUGGCAAAACCGUGUGCCCAAUAUCAUGGGCUUUGCAAAAUAAUGUCCCCAAUACCAUGGGCUAUCUAAAAUCAUGGGUCUGAUGCAAUGGGAUAUUUAAUUUGUAUGUGUUAACAUAUUUUUCCUGGCUUCCAUGUAUUAAUAGAAUGUUCUAAAAAUAGUAAAAGAUUAUAUAAAUAAAGCAUCACUUCAUCAAAAAUUUUUACUUUAAAAGUUAUAUAAAUAAAGCAUAAAAUUGUAUCUAAUGUCAUGAAAAAAACUUGAUUUAAAUAAAGAGAAAUGAGAAUUUAAUAAAACUGAUACAAUAAUUUGUUUAUAUGCAAAAUGAUUGUGACAAAAAAAGUGAUAAACGAAAUUAACUAAAUUGGUAAAAUCCUAAUAUUUAGAAACAAGGAUAAUUAUCAAUAAAUUGUGUUAAAAUUGAAAAAAGUUGUAAAAAGUUGUAUUUUGUGCUAUUUAAUGAAUAUAUGAAUUCUAAAAGUAUAAUUUUGACAAUAUUUUGCCAAAAUUGGGUGUCAUAACACUGAAUUAUGAAAUCAUUUCAAUUAUUCCUUGUAUGUGCUUAAGAUAUUCUAAUAAUUGUAGGAAGUAUUUAGCCUGUCUAUUGAAGCUAGAUAUCAAUCACCAAUAGAAUAUAGAGUGUAACAAUGUAAUGGUGGUGUAAGGUGUUGGAACCACUAAGGAAGGAGUGGCAGUUGGAGAAAAGGAAUAAUAAUAUUUUUCUUUUGUGAUACACAGUUGUGUCCUUUCUAGUUUGCGUGCUCCUCGACGUUUUCCACGGGGUUGUUACUACCCUCCACCCCAAGGCCUAGAAAAGAGGAGGAAUGCAUUUCUUAAGAAAUUCAAAAUGACGGAAGAUGGUUCUUUUUAUGUUCAUUUGUUUAAUUUCCAUUAUUUUGCUGCUAGAUCAAUGUAAAGGGUAAAGUAUAAAUUGUAAAUCCUAUUUUAUGUGAUAAUUGACUUAUGUUUUAUAGUAGUGGUCGUUGAAAAAAAUAUUUAAAUAGUUGUUGUGAAGUUAAAUUGACAGAAUAUAAAAGUUCCAAUAUAAUUAGUUAAAUUAAUUUGAAUUCUUGAAUUAGUGGAAGAGGUGUCGGACUAUUCUUGUGAAUGGUUCCAUCAUUUUUGUGAUGUUUCCAAAAUGGAAUAUUCAUAUAUUUGGAUUAGGAAGGAGUUUCGGAAACAACCUCUCUACUUCUUCGGAUGUAGUGGUAUGGACUGCGUACAUUUUACUCUCCCCAGACCCCACUAUGUGGGAUUAUACUGGUUUGUUGUUGUUGUUGUUGUUGUUGUUGGACUAGGAAGGAGUUGGUUUUUUAUUUAGGAAAAAGGAUUGAGAUUUCAAUUAUAGAAAGGAAUUUGAACAAUUAGGCAUCGCAUAGAGACGUUUACUACAAGUUGGUCUUUUGAGAAGCCAACAUCGGUAUUUCAAUCCUAGGUAUUUUGGCUAUUGAUUUGAGAUUGCAUGGAGGGGGAUGUAUUGAUGCUUUUAUGAAGGAUAGUUAGUGUGUCUCAAUCUAUUUACUUCAAGAUGACAAGGUAAAAGAUUGUUUUGCUGCGACAUGUCUUUGGAUUCAAGUCAAUAAUAUGUUUUUUCCCUCACUCUGUGUAACCUAUUAUUAUUUUUUAUGUCUGUCUGCUUGCAGGCUUACCCAUACUUGCACAUUCGCAACAAGGAGUUUCCAUGGGGUAAUAAUGUGACAAGUCAUUUUCUGAUUUUCUAUCUGUAUAAUUUCAUGUUUAUGCACUCAUGCUUGGUGGUUUGAUUGUAUCUGGCCUUUGAUCGUUGCAAUGCCGUUACCAGUUUUCAACACUUGUUUAAUAAGGAGUUUUACUGAUGUAUUACAUUUUACUUUUUUUAACUUUUUGGGGUUAAAAAAUGUUGCAGCAUGAUUCCAAUGGACUAAAGGGGUUGGAAGUGUUCUCCUGCUGUUAUCCUAAUUGAUUACCUGAUAGUAGUGGGGCUGAUUUUUGCAUGAUCUUUUUCUCCCUUGGGACUUGAUGCCAAAUGUUGAAAUAAUUGAGCAUAAGAGCAUUAUGUUAGUAUAUUAUAUGCAUCAUUUGGAAAAAAAAGGCAGGAAAAAAUUGCUCGACUUUUAAAAGUAGGUACAAAAAAUGCAACUUACUCCCUUGGUGUCCCCUAAUCCGUUUUGGAAUUGAUGAUGUUUGCUGAAAUACUUAAAAGUGGUGGGUAAUUCAGGUCAACCUUUAUUUAUAUGGCCUGGUGUUGUUGCCAUUUUGGCAGAUAAUGCAAUGAGUGACUUUCUCGCUGUGAAAAGAAAAUCAGAGUUGUCAUCUUCUGCUACAUAUGUAUACCUGUUGUUUUGCCGGAUGAUAUUCAAAAACUUUGAAUGCCUGUGCUGCAGGCCUCAUUUUUAAAGUAAACGGGACGUGCCGAUGCGUAUUUGUAUUGUUUUAGUAGUUAAUUCAGGGCCCAUAGCGUGUUGUUGUACGCUUUCUAGGAUAUACUUAUUUCUGAUGAUGAAAUUUCCAUGUUUGCCAUAUUUUGUGCUUGCGUUUUGAUCUGCUACCUGGUUACGCAAUGUUGUGAUACUAUUUUCCUCUGGCCUUUGGUGAAUGCAGGUCCAGAUGGCCUUUUUGAGUCCAAGCACCACUGAAACUGCAUGGUUUCUCUGUGAAGGCAUUAAAAUAAUUCCUGUCCAUCUGCAAGUAUCAUCAUAAUAUUGUGGUGUGAAAGCUUUUGAAUUUUCAUGAGAUGUCUUCUAUUGGUUCUUUUCAGUACAAGAAACUGUUGUCCUUACUUUGACGUAUCUGUAUUUUGCACUAUGCUCUUGCUUCUUACAAAGUGCUUUUUAAAGAAUAAGUAUUGAGGGAUGAUUAAGUCAUUCCAGUCAUUCUUUUCAAUAUGUUUGCUGUUAAAUGCCCCAUUCUGCUUAAUGCAUGUGUGUCAUGUAGAGUUAUUGAAAUACAGGAUUAUGUUUCUUCGUCUUUUCAUCCUGGCCAACAUUUUUUCAUGGUUUAUAUUCUGUAUAAUUCGUUCUUAUUGGCACAAUUUAAGGAUGGAGACGGUUAAUUUUUGCUGUCUAAACCUGCCGUUGCAUGUGCGCUACAAUACGCUUGGCAAAAAGAUUCUGAUAACUAGAUUAUGCGCUACAGAACUACCAAGUAGCGGAUGUGGCAUUGUCUAAAAUUUUGUUGAACUAGUGUAAGAUUUCAAAUAUUGCUAGUGAAGAGACAUGAUUCGUAAUUUUGUAAGGACGUAUUUGGUGACCGUUUGUCCGUUACGAUGUCCUGUAAUCUUUUCCUUUCCUGGGAAAUUUGUUCAGAUGAUAUUUGGGUGGAGUUGUAAAAAGAAGUCUCGACAUAAACUGCAGGUUUGUUUUACACAAUGCCUGUAGUGAAAUAUCUUUUUUCACAUAAAACUUGGCAUGAUUCAUUGCAAGGUUUGGUUUGGAAUUUCUUAUAUGCGUAACUAAAAACACUCUUCUGCACCGUAGUUUACAAUAGAAUCUCUGCAUCUCUAUUUAAGUUAAUGGAUUUACCUAGGAAGUCUAGGAGAAAAUGCAAUGAAGUGUUUCAAGACCGACUUGAAUUGUUUUUUUUUCUUUUAUUGAAUUGAUCCCACCAGAACAGAACAUUACCAUAACUCUACUAUUCCACGCCUAUCCGAACUUCAGACCCUCCGAACUUCAGACCCACCACAACGAAGUUUUUGAGUAUACUAAGGAUUACCCAUAUCGAGAAGUAGAUUUCAAGCUCACUUCUAAAGACUCUCGUAAAUAUCUCUAAUAUUGGCUGUUCUAUAGAAACCAAACUUUUGAGAGGAAAAGGGUAAAAAGAACAGUAACUUCAGUUCGUAGAAGAACAGUAAACUUUAGGAAAUAUUACUCAAUUUGAUAAAAGUUGGAACAAUGUGAUACUACAUGUCACGGGAAGUGAGACCUAUAAGCACUUAAUGUAUCAUCUGUAAGAAUGGAGAAUUUUAUGAUUGACCUUAAUUUUCUAUCUCCUAUUCACAACAUUUUGAAUGAGACGAAGAAUCUCCCUGACUUAAAAGCCAGCAAUCAAAUAAGAAAUUCUUCAUGACUUUAAAGCCAGCAACCAAGUGUGAAAAACGAUGCUACCAUUUCCUAUGUUCUUGUUGAAAAAUUAAAGUGGUGUUUGUAUACUUUUUGAAGAAAAAAUUGUGUAGAACUAAAAAUGUUAUUGUAAGCGCUUGCUAGAAUGUAUUUUCAGAUAGUGUUGUCAACUGAUUUUUGUCCCCUCAGAUACUAUGGUGAGAAGCACCUUAUAAUUCAAUGACUAAAAUUGAUUACUCAGAUGCUUUUGGCAGUAAGUUCUAAAGAUGAAGAAAUCUUUUAUCAUUAAUAAUGCACGGAAUAUUGCAAGAUUAGACAUGCCGAUAGACGUUUAUGUGAUAAGAGAUGAUAAAGAAACUAAGUUGUGCGCAACAUCAAACUAUAUAUUUGUUACAUGAUGACUCUUCGUCUUCGGCAUCGACAGGCAAGCCAACCGAAGUUAUCUCACUAUCAUAUUACUGCCUUAGACUUUGAACAAGGCAACAAGAAGAAAGAAUGUGAAUAAAACUUUGGCAUAAAAAUAGUAGUACUAGGUAUCUAUAUUACUCUGCUGCAGCUUCUUCCUGACUGUUCCCCUCAUUUCCUGUCUGUGGCAAUGUUCCCACGUCAGUACGAGUCUCUGUCUCUUCUUUAGGAAUUGCAGAAUCUGUCGACUCGACUUGGUUUUGCUGGCUGUCAUCAGGAUUGCUGUUUGAACUGGAAGAAUCAGUCGAUUUGUUUUGAUCUGCGUCUGUCUCGUCAUUAUCAUUUGAGGGAUUUAUUUUGUUCUCAGAGCCUGGAUCAGAUUUCUGGUUCGUCUCAUUCUGAUCGUUCCCACCUCCAGUUGACUUCUCAGUUGCACCAGCUGUUACAGUGUUGCCAUUUUGGUCAACUGAUCCAACAGAUUCAGCGCGUUUUGAACUUGUUAUUGAUUCUUCAUCUGCCGAGGAAUUUGAAUCUUUUUUCUCAGAUAGCUGCUCAUUUGGAUCGUUCUGCGUGCCAUCUCCAACAGAAACAGCCUCCUUAAUUGAGUUGUUCUCAUUUUGUGCGGUUCGAGUGGCAGAACUGUCAUUUUCCUGCUGCUGUUUGUUGGCAUCAUUGGUUCCUCCUGCAAGCUUGGAGUCCUCACCAGAGUUGUUCUCAUUUUGUGUGGUAUGAGUGACAGAACUUUCAUUUUCAUUGGUUCCUCCUCCAAGAUUGGAGUCUACACCUGAGUUGUUCUCAUUUUGUUUGGUGCCAGAGGCAGAACUGUCCUGUUCCUGCUGCUGCUUACUGGUUUUGCUGUUUUCUGCUACAGCAUUGGAGUCAUCACUAGAGUUUUUCUCAUUUCCUUGCUGAUGUUCAUUUGCUUCAUUGGUUCCUCCUGCAUGAUCUGAGUUAUCACCAGAGUUCUCAUUUUGUAUGCUAUGAGAGGUGGAGCUUUCAUUUUCUUGCUGAUGUUCAUUGGCUUCAUUUGUUCCAGUUGCAGCAUUGGAGUUAUUAUUACUGUUGCUUUCAUUUUGAAUGGUUUCAGAGGCAGAAUUGCCACUUUCUGUCUGCUGGCUAGUGGCUUCAUUGGUUCCAUCUGCAGCAUUAAAACUGUCCCCAGUGUUGCUUCCAUUACUCACUUCUCCAGCAGCAUUUGCAUCUGCAGAACUGUUUUGUUCAAGCAUCUUAUGUUCUCCAGACUCUGAAUCCAACUUGUUCAGACUUUCAUCACUAGUGUCGUUCUUGCUUUUCUUGUCUUGCAACUCAUCUUCUCCCUUCUUGGAUUCCUCCUCAUUGUUCAAGGCAACAUUACCAUCGCCUUCUGUCCCUUUCACGUUUUCAGAUUCUGAUGUCUCUUUAACCAACGAACUUCCUUCCUUGCUUUUUUCUACUGUUGAAGCCUCAUUAGUCAUAUCAAUUUCAUCGUGAACCUUGUCUUCUGAAGAGGCAGAUUCUUCAUUUUUGCUUAGGUUAUCUUCCUUCUCUUUACUGGCUUCAUCAUUCUUCUCUUCUGCGCUCUCGUCAUUCUCUUUUACUUUGCCUUCAUUACUUUCCUCCAACUCCACCGACUUCUUUUCGCUUUCAUUUUCAACUACUUCGUUGCUUUUACUCGUAGAAGUUUCUUCACUUCCAUUCUCUUCGCUUUGUGCCUUCUCUUCUUUCAAAUCAGUUCCUGCGUCAACAUUUCCCUCAGUUCCCUUCUCUUCACUUUCACUUUCCUUGUCAGUGUUCUCAUUAAAAUCCUUGUCUUCCUUUUCCGACUCCUGGUCCUUACUUUCUUCGCCACUUUGCUCACUGUUGUUGGUAUUAGUGUCAGUGGCUUCCUCAUUACUCUCACCUUUGCCAUCUUCACUACGCUCUUUGCUUUCUGCUUCAGCAUUGCCUUCUCCCCUCACUUCUUUCUCCUGGAUUUUUUCCGUUCCUCUAUCCUCAUCCACCAAUUCCGCUUUAUGCUCCCUAUCCUCCGCUGAUUUUUCAAGAUCAUGGCCAUGCUCCUCCACUUUGGCGUCAUCAUCAAAACGCUUAAGCUCGUCUUCCUCUGUCACCUUGGUCAGCUUCUCAUCAUCAACAUCUACUUCCUUCUUUAGAGGUUGGAGGUCCUUCCUUCCAAACCUGAUAACAUCAUUGUCAGUCUGUACCUUCUCUGAGACGCUUGCAUUUUGUUCAAAAGAUGCUUUCUUGCUACGUGAGUGCUGGACUUGGUAAAGCAGCCAGAUACAAACACCAACAAGUACACAUAUCUGAAGAGCAUGCUUCACCUUAAAACCUUUAUUUCUCUGUUGGUUUCUACGCGGUGAGUUCUUGAACAUGAUGAUUUACUUUGAAUCCAACAACACCUUAAAAAAAAAGAUCCAACCAAAAAAAAGAGGUGCAAUUUAGGGGCUUGAGCCAGAGAAAAUCCACGAAAACACUAAUUUUAGCUUUACGCAUACUGAUACAUCAAGAGAAUAACACCAAGGUGGUAUAUCUAAAGAAAACAAAACAACGAUGCUGGUUAACAGAGACCUCAAACAAUUCAGAACCAUCAGCACACAAUACGAGACUAUCAAAUUCUAAGUUGCGCGGACUCUACACUUUCGAUGCCACAUCCGCGUCGGAUUCUCCAAAAUACACUACCUUUGAAGAAUCCGACACGCACCAGUUGGCAUUUUAGCAAAUCAAAUUAGAUUAGUUAAACUAAGGAUUGGUCACUUUCUGGAUCUGAGUAUUUACGUAAUUACUUUCAUCCAGAUCUAAACAGUGGCCAGAGGAGCUAAGAAAUUCAGCAGCAUAUGCUGCAAUAAAUUUGGCAGAUAACUUCAGUGUACAUAUAUCUGCAUAUUGUCUUUGAAUCAACAAACAAGUUCUCAAUCAUUUAUUCAACUCAACAAAAAUUCAAACAUGAGACACAAAUAGGGAAUCAUUUCAGCACAAUCAUUGAACUGUCAACGUGUUACAUAAUUUAAAAUCAAGUACUACUAAUUUAACAUAUUGAAGAGUGGCAGGCAUUUGAAACUGCAACAAUCAAAGCAAAUCAAGAAACACAAACACAUUGUUUUCAAAAAUAUUUGCAUUUGUUGAAUAUUAUCCUAACCAACUAAUCAAAAACAAACCCAAAUUUGAAAUCUUUACACAAAACUAUAAUAGAAAAAAGAUGAAAUGAAGAAAACGGCAUACCUGAUUCACUGUCUCAGAGUCUUGAUGCAAGAUCCCAAAUUGAAAUGAAGCAAAAGUAGGUAACUUUAUAGGCAAAUUUGAUCAAUGAUUAGAAUGGAAGGAAAGGUGCAAUAAGAUCCUUAAACUGCAAACUAAAUAAUAAUAAUAAUAUAAUAUGACAAUAGUAUGGUUGUAUUACUGGAACCCCAUACACAAUAUUGUUUGAAAUGGUUUAAGAAUUUUAUGGGUGGCAAGUAGUUUUUGUAGAGGUUGAUUCAACAACUAUCAGGAAGAGGUGAAGACGUGACCUUUUUUAACCUUUUAUGUUCAGAUCAAGAUCCAGUUUUUCUCACUUUAUUUGAAAACCACACAUAUUCUCUUUCUUUUAUACUGACCCCCCGCCCCACACCCACACCCCAAUCUCUUCUACUUGAUAAAUAUGGUAUUUGUGAAAAAAGGGAACAAUUUGAGAUUUGUUGCGGUAUUAUAAAUUAGUAUAAAUUAAAAAUUAUUUUACUGAAAGUAAAGAUAAUUUUUAGCUUAAAUUAUUUUUAAUUAUAAUAAAACUAUAUUCAUUGAGACGAAUUUAAAAGGAAAUACUUCCUCCGUUUUAAAAAACAAAUAAUUUUUUUUGUGGAUUUUGAAAAAAUNNNNNNNNNNNNNNNNNNNNNNNNNNNNNNNNNNNNNNNNNNNNNNNNNNNNNNNNNNNNNNNNNNNNNNNNNNNNNNNNNNNNNNNNNNNNNNNNNNNNNNUUUUAUUUUAUUUUUUAAAAAAGUUAUAUUAAAUUAAAAUAAAUCAAUUUUUUUAAAGGGAGAGAGAACGUACUUAUCACAUAAGAUGGAGGGAGUAGUAAUUUUAAAACAACUGUUGCGUUUACACUGGCACCUCUCAUCCUCAUUUCCUUAUCACAAAAAUGACACUGUUGUGAGCAGUUACGUCGUCGUUUUAUAAACCAAAUGUUACUGUAAAGUGGAGAAGCUGCCACGUGUCACUAAUAACUCCGUCGGUGAACCGGUGACUCGGUGUUUAUUUAUUUUAUUAUUCUAAAUACACAAACCGCUGGUUCAGAAAUCGGCGAAUUUGGAAAGAUGUUCUCGAAGAUUCUAACAACAGCGUUGCGCCGCACUACACCUAAACCCUGCCAUGUCCAUCGCCGUCUUCGCCGUUUCUCCACGGCGGCAGCGGUAGUCGGAGAACAAUAUGAGGAGGACUCUACCGGAAUCACGAUGAAAGGUGUAAAAAUCUCCGGUAGACCUUUAUACCUAGAUAUGCAGGCGACUUCUCCGAUCGAUCCUAGGGUUCUCGACGCUAUGCUUCCUUACCAUAUCUCCCAAUUCGGGAAUCCACAUUCUAGAACUCACUUUUACGGGUGGGAAUCCGAUCAGGCUGUGGAGGCGGCCCGAGCUCAAGUUGCCGCCCUGGUUCAAGCUUCUCCGAAAGAGAUAAUUUUCACCUCAGGUGCUACAGAAUCGAAUAAUAUCUCGGUUAAGGGAGUUUUGCAUUUUUAUAGAGAUAAGAAGCGACAUGUUAUUACUACUCAAACGGAGCAUAAAUGUGUUUUGGAUUCUUGUCGUCAUUUACAGCAAGAGGGAUUUGAUGUAACUUACCUUCCCGUUGAGUCUGAUGGACUUGUUGACCUAGAAAAGCUUCGGGCUGCGAUACGGCCUGAUACGGGGUUAGUGUCAAUUAUGAUGGUGAAUAAUGAAAUUGGUGUGAUUCAGCCUAUGGAGGAAAUUGGAAAAAUUUGUAAGGAGUUUAAUGUUCCUUUCCAUACUGAUGCUGCACAAGCGUUGGGGAAGAUUCCUAUUGAUGUGGAGAAGAUGAACAUAAGUUUGAUGUCCUUAAGCGGGCAUAAAAUUUAUGGGCCGAAAGGUGUUGGAGCUUUGUAUAUUAGGCGUAGGCCGAGGAUUAGGGUUGAACCUCAGAUGAAUGGGGGUGGACAAGAGAGAGGGAUUAGGAGUGGGACAGUACCGACUCCGUUAGUGGUAGGGUUUGGGGCAGCUUGUGAACUUGCAAUGAAGGAAAUGGAAUAUGAUGACAAGAGGAUUAAAGCUUUGCAGGAGAGGUUACUGAAUGGUAUAAGGUCUAAGAUCGAUGGAAUUGUUAUAAAUGGAAGUGUUGAAAGGCGAUAUGCUGGUAAUUUGAACUUAUCUUUUGCGUAUGUGGAAGGAGAGAGCUUGUUGAUGGGGCUGAAGGAGGUUGCAGUGUCAAGUGGAAGUGCGUGCACCAGUGCAAGUUUGGAGCCAUCCUAUGUGUUGAGGGCGUUGGGAGUUGAAGAAGAUAUGGCCCAUACAUCAAUUCGAUAUGGAAUUGGGAGGUUUACUACUGAGCAAGAGAUUGAUCGUGCGGUUGAUCUUACAGUUAACCAGGUUGAGAAAUUGAGGGAAAUGAGCCCACUCUAUGAAAUGGUUAAAGAGGGCAUUGAUAUAAAGAGUAUACAGUGGUCACAGCAUUAGAUUGAUUGCCAAAUGAUUGGCAUUGAGAUGAUAACUGCCACUACAUGAGCAUGUGGAAUGAAGUUGAUCGUCCAGGUUCUUGUUCAGAAUAUUUUAUGCAUGUUCUUGAGCUUAGAGGCUAUUUUAAUGAGUUAAGUUUCUGUAAUAAGACAUACUGUCGUCGACUGUAAUUUGACACUAUAGUUGUGUAUGAUAUAGAUGUUGAGUUGCUUUAGUGACACGAAGGAUGUAGCAUCUAUUUUGGUAAAAAUGAUGGGUGUUUCUCCCUUGCAUUUUGGUUUCUCAUAUUUCGCUUAUGACCGUUAAGAAGCCUAUAAGAUUUAAUUUAGACCCAAUUGUGUUUGCAUGAUUAUAGCAGGAAAGCUUAUGGUGUUCUGAUUAUCUUAGGAUAUAAUUUAGGGUGAUUCUACUGCAUCCAAUAAUUUGCACUCACUUCCUACACGUCAGGGAUUGGAUGCCCGUGGCAUAGCUGGCACUUUUAUCAUCUGGUAUUUUGGUUUAAUAAAUUCUAGGGAACUCAGAAUGAAAUUUACUUUGUAUCUUUGAUUAUGUGUGGGCGCCUUGCCCUGUGUCCUUCAUUGCUGUUUGAUUGAUGCCAUAUUGCCAUCAUUGUUUAAGGUCCUCCGCUUCUAGUUGAUUUUGUAAUCAACUGAAUUCUGUGAAUUAAUGUUUCUGGUUAUAUGACAAAUUGAACUCGACGUUUCACAUUUGAUUUUGCAAGAUUUGAUUCUACUGUAAUGAACACCUUGAUUAGGGUGAUAACAUUUGCCUUGAUCUAUUGAAUUUUUGUGUGUGCCUCCUACUGUGAAGCUCUUCUGAUUGAUAUGUCUUACCAGGGGUUUUCUGGUAUAUAUGAUGUCAUAGGCUACUAGGUGUUUGUUAGUUUCUUUUUGAAAGUCAGUUCUGGGGAGACCUACUGCUAGCAGAUCAUGGAGGGACUUAGAUCCAUGGAAUCCUAGUCUAUUUUACUACCUUCUUCCUCUUCCCGUGAAUAUACCAUAGUCGGCAUAGGAAAAAAGAACAGAAAAAUGAAAAGCAAACAGUUCUUGGACUACAUAAUAGUAUAAAUUAUCAGUAGAUAAUAUCAGUUCUUGAGAAAUUUAAUCAGAAGAAUGAAACAAAAACUUCAUGUUGUAACAUCUAAUCUUCUUCACCUAUGGGUUUCUUGGACUCUUCAAAGGUACUGCUGGGUGUUUGUUGAAUCCUUAAAAACCUAUGCACUUUUGAGGAUCCUUCAUGGGUACAAAAUAUUUGGGUGGGUCCAAGACACAUAGCUCUUCACAACAUGGCCAAUAACACUGAAAUUGAAGCCAUUUUAUGUAGACAGAUGAGCCACUAAAGUCAUUGUACCAUAGAAAGUCUACCAUUGGUAAUUAAAUUGUUGUUGAACGUAACUUUAGUGUAUAUUAAUUAAAUUCAGUAGUAAAAGAGAAGAUUUCAAUUGGGACAUCUGAAGCUGAUUGUACAAACCAAUGCAGCCAGCAUCAAGUCUCUUUAGGCUGGCCUCACAUGAAGUUCUAGCAUACCAGGGAUCUCUAAAUUUUUUCUAUUUUUCCAUUAGCACAACUAAUAAGAAACUUGUUCCCAAGUCAUUUCUUUAUAAAUCAGAGUAUAGAUUGACAAUUGUUAAUGUUGAUCACAAUCAUCUUUACAACUAGAUUGUGUACUUCAUAAAUAGUGUGAUUAUAAGUUUGAAUUUAGUUCUUAGCACAAGCUAAAAUUGAUCACUUGUUAGUAUUAGGAAGCACACAAGGACUCAAUCUGAAAAUUGCUCCUAUUUUUAUAAUUACCGCAUGUGUAGCAUGUCUUCCAAAGGGAAAGACGCUAUUUCCUUAUUUGUCAAAAAUGGGUAAGACACAUGGCCGAAUGUAAUUGGACGGAGCUCUCUCGAUUUAAGCUAACUCUCGAUUUAAGCUAACUAACAGAAGAAAAGAAAAAUAGAAUAACUUACAAGAGACUCAACUUAUCUGUACAUAACGUAGUGGGAAUAUUGAUAGUUUUUAUUACUUGCAUGUACUGCUUUGACAUUAGGGAUCUGCACUAUUAGUACUCCAUUAGCUAACGAAAGAGACAAGAUAAAAAAUCAUUUUAAUUGUCCAAACUGAUUCUUCUGCCAUUCACUCUAAUUCUAUUAAGGUAUUGAUGUGUAUUAUUUACAUCUAUUUUAUUUUAAUACAUAAUAACAAGUGUAGUCUGUUUCAGUUUCUGCAGUAGACUAAUUAAUGCAAAGUCUUGUGUUGGGUAGGCCUUUUUAGUUUUAUCCUAAAUGUCAUCUGUUUGAACAUGAUUACCUUUACCUUCUUUAUUCCAGGUGAUGUAAAAUUCAUUUUGGUGCAACCAACCUUGUUUUGGUUAAAUACAUUCAGCUCUUUAGUUUUUUUCGUAUUUUGGAAAAUUUCACGAAUUAAAGAAUUAUGAGGGAUUAAGAUAUCUCACCAUGUUGCUAUUAUUGGGAAAUUCAGAGGAGAAAUAACUAUGUUUAGCUUACUGUUUGUAGUGCUACCCGUAUAUGUUAUUACUCUGGCACUUGGCCUCUUCUGUUGUAGAUGAGACUUCGACCAAGGUGAAAGCCCAUAACGAAAUCUAUCUUUUGUCAAUUCACUCAGAUAUCUUUUGUGAGAUUAGUAAAGAGAUUAGGAAAAUUUAUUGAAGAUAAAGUCACUUGUAAAAUUUCUUUUCACUGAGGUGAAUUGAUGCAAUCUAACACUGAUUGUUUAAUCAACUUAUCCUUUUUUUUUGAAUAUUAUUCUGUUAAUUUACUGUCAAUGUAGCACCCAAGGGUGUGACUAAUGGUUUAAUGAAGUGGGUUGAGCACCAUGAGGUCUUCGGUUCAAUUCCCAACAGAGAUAAACACUAAGUGAUUUCUUUCCAUUUGGAAAGAGUUUACCCGGUACCUGUUAUUGGUGGGAGGUGGCAGGUAGCCCGUGGAUUUAGUUGAGGUGCACGCAAGCUAGCCCCAUGGCUAUCAAAAAAAGAAAUUCACUGUCAUCAUAAUAAUUUACAGCGUGUAUUGUUGAGCUCCGUUCUUGAUAAUAACUUCAGUUCCAGAUUUAUUGUAAUUGCACAUAGUUUUCGUUUGGAUUCUUCUGUUAGGUUUAGCUGGUUUUGGCAGUCAUGCCAAUGUAAAAUGAUUUUUGCUCCAACAAUUAUUGCAGAAUAUGUGGUUUGGUGUGCUUGAUUAAUUUUUGAAAGUAUUAGCACUUCUUCUCUCAGUCUGCUGGCUUUGGAAGAGCAAAAGCUCUCACUACCAAGCUGCGGACUGAGCUGAUACUCAUAGAAAAUGACGAAUUACGGGCACCAGUAAUGUGCUUGAAGAUCAACUACAUCCUAUAUUCUUUGUGUAUUACCUAUAUUUACAAUAUGCUGAAACGUAACAAGAAGGUCUUACUUCUCUUUGCUUUAUUUAUUCCUACUACUCAUAAGUUGACAAGAACCUUCAUGCCCAUAGACCAGAUCUUAUUAGCGUGUGUUUAGUCUUGUGAGGUCAUUCUUUGAUUCAGGCUUAGUGCCACUUGAAAUUGUUUUCGUUGACUAAAUGCCAUAUCGUAACUUGCAUGGUAUAGUAGAAAGUGAAAAACUGAUCUGUAAAAGUGCAAAUCAGCCUAUAAUACAAGCAAUUCUUUUCUGAAUUGGAAAGCCUUUGACUUGUAUUACAGUUUGAAUUCUUUAAUAUUUGUGGCGAAACUAUUUUUCAUGCUUUAUCCUUAUUGUUGCCUUGUUGUUCGCGAAGACUUGGAGUUUUGUAUUAAUUUUCACUAUCCAGCUGGAAAUGAACAAUGAUUUAUAUCUAUUGAGUGAAAGUCCUUCAAUAUUGGUGAAUUUAACUUGCUCAGUCGAAGAUGCCUUAGGUCACAUUGAGACAAGAAGCACAAGCACGCUCAAUUGGUAGGGAAGUCUUUGCAGCUUGAGUUCAUUAACAAUAAGAAUUGGAGUUGUUGAUUAGUUAUUUAGUUGGUGAAUUGUUUUGCACCUAGUUUAAGUGCCAAGUCGGUAAGGUAAGUGUAUAUUUUCUUUUUCCCACAGCUGAGUAGUGUUCUGCACAACUAUGUGCAAUGUUAGGAAUUAUUGGAAAAAGGGAUUUUUCUUUAGCAAUGAAAACAUGACCACCUUAUGAUGAUAUCCAAAAUGCAGGCAAUUGGUCGUUCUGCAUACUGGUAGGAGGACUAUAGAUUGAUCGCCCUAUUGUCUUGUGGUGUUUAUGGUCUUGGAUGUAUUUGGAGGCUUGGGCCUCACCGCUACUACCAAUGACGAUCUUAGCGCUCCUGGCAGGGAGCAAGAAGAAAUAAAACGAUAGAUCAACCAGUAAAUCUCUUAGGUGAAUACCAAAAAACACUCGUUGCUCAACGCACCUCAGAUAUAUUACUGUAGCUGUCACUUUCCCUUUCUUUUGUGUCCUGUGUUAUCCAUUGGAUCUCAAGAUAUUAUUGUGUGUGUAUUCAUAGAUGUGUAUUCGUGCGUAGGUUUGUUUGUAUGCGUAGCUGUAAAGUGAAUGAACGAGACUCAAAAAAUGUGUGGAGAAGGACAAUGUAUGAUAAGUUAGCAUCAACUUUUUCAUUCAGUACGCGUUCUUCGAAGGACAAUGUAUGAUAAGUUAGCAUCAACUUUUUCAUUCAGUACGCGUUCUUCGAAAAAAUAAUUUAUAUCUGGUCGCCAUCCUUUCCUGGAGUUCAUUUGAACAGUAGAUCUGUGUCUUUAUGAUCUGAUUGAUCCCUGGAAUUCUCAGUAGCUAGCAUCACAAAAAUUAAAGAAAAGCAUAUAUGAACAAAAAGGACUUUGAGAAUGACUUACGUAUAAAAUAUGGGUUGAAGCUUUUUAUGGGCUUAAAAACUUGGAAACAAACAAAAAAAUGGAAUAUCAUGCGCCCAUUCUUGUUUAGCUCUGAUGGAUAUGACAUUCUCUAUUUAUAUUAGUAUAUUGGAUAAAAUUUGCUUCAUUGGGCCGGGAUAAAUGUUCCAUAAAAUUGCACUUAUUUAUGUAAGAGACUAUAGACUACAGAACCUCAUUACUAACUCUGACCAGAAUGUCAAAUUUAAACAAAGGUAGACUAAUAAAUCUGUAUGUACUCGUUAAUUAUUACUACUAGACUAUAAGGAAGGGUGAGACAAGGAAAAUGACAACAUCAUUAAUGGCUGCACAAAUGAUUGGUAUGAGUAUUUGUUAAGCAUGCAUUGAUCUCUUAUGUGAGUGAGUCAUUAAGCAUGAAUGUCAGAGUAAGAACUCUGUCUUGCUUGAAUUAAAAAAAGGAAAUGACUGAAAAAUUUGAAUAGGGAAUGUAAUCAAGUCAAAGCUCUUUAUAAUGAUGUUGUUCGUUGGCAUUUUUUACAUUGAAUAAGUAAAAUUUUGCUAUAGAUAAUGGUUUCAAAAAAAAGAAUUGGCUGUUACCGCAAAAUAUUGGCGUACUUUUGUUUUUUUCUCAGGAAGAGAGCUUUGUUUUUUUGGAACAAUUCAACGUUUGACACGUGCAAGCUUGCAGAAUACGGAUACUUGUUUUUAAUUAACAAAUAACUCAUGUAUAACAGCUUUUUUUUACAAUGCCAAAAAAACAAGAAAACCUGUGAGUGAUUUCUUCCAAUUCACACAAAGUAACAUCGAGUCAGUAGACAACUAGAAAACUGAGGCAUUAGUUAAUUCUAUUUCUUUUUUCAUUUCACAACUUAACAGUUGCGUACAAAAAUAAGGAAAAUAUAAUGUGAUAGUAAUAUCUAUUUUAGCUAUGUAAAUCUGAGAGCAGUGGGUGAGAGGAGGGGUUAUUUUAAAUUCAUAGAAGUACACAGCUCUGGAAUCUGGUUGAAGUCAGAAUGGUGGCAUCCAGAAUCCACAUUAAUAUUCCAGUAAAUGUAAAAAAUAUGGCCAUAUCAGCUUUUCAGUAGUAGCAGUAAACAGUUUUAACCAAAUCUUUCACCUGCCUACUCUUAGUUCUACUGCCUGAUUUGUUAACAGGGUAAGGUCAAUUAUUACAUAUGCUCUUUUAGUAACCUCUACGGACUUUCACAUUUACUUUUACUGUCAUUUUGUACCUCUUUUCUUACACGCUCAAGAGAUUCGCUCCUAUUCUUUCUUUUCUUUUCUCUUAUAAACUUUAGAUAAUCGUAGGAAGGUUCAUAUUGCUCCUAGUGAGAUGCAUUACUAAUGCUUACUAAAUUUAUUUAACUGGUACCACUAAUAGCUGAUUAACAUUAGACCUACCUUAAAUGGGAAUAUCCCCACAGAACUUUUUAACCCAAAUGGUGUCUUAAAUUUGAGGUUCGUUCAAUUUUAAGUCUCGAUUAUAUUAUCUUGAGCAUAUAUGGUCUUUAAUAAGUUCAAAAAAUCUAAGCACUUCUUAUAAUGGACUACGAAAAAUGUCACGUGCUUUCACAUGAAUAGAGGAAAUUUUAAUAGUUUAGUUAGUUGACUACCUGAAUUUUUACUUUAUUGGUGAUAGUUUGAUUUCCACCUUGUAAAGAAAAGUUUGAACAGAGCAAAGCUAUCCGGUAGAGCUCUUCUCCGCUGUCAUUUUUCCUCCAAUUUUAGUACUACUAAACACAAAAACGCAAAAGUCUAGACAAGAGAAACACUACAAAAACUUGAGGAAGAAAAAAAAAUUAAGGUGGACAAGAAGUCGUUGAUCAUGAUUGUUAUUUUACUUGGACAUGCAAAAAAACACAAUGGACUUACGUUAGGUCUGUUAACUUGAAGGAUCGUACGCACUUAAGGUACUAAUAAAAUAGGGACAAAAAUAGACUUACCCCCAAAUUUAAGGGAUUAUUUGGGAAUAAAGCUAACAAGAAAGUAGCAAUGAUUCAUGUACAUUACAAGGGGACUGUACUAAGAUUUGUAUCUCAAGGGUUGAAGAUAAGAUUUCCACAUUUGCAUUUCCAGCUCAUAGGCUUGUAGUUUGAGUUGUCACUGUCCCUGGCAUAGGCAAUAUUGCUGCUGGAUACUACUUUGUUGUUGUUGAUGGUGUGAUUGUUGUUUCCAUUUGUGAUUGUGGGGUUUGUUGGAACCUGAAUGGCUUCACAGUGUCCGCAAGAACCACAUCUUUUGUCACACCUAGGUGGCCUCGACCCAAUUUGUGAUCUCAUGAACAUUGCUCUCUUUUCACUCUCUAUCUACAUGCAAGUUACAACCCAAGAAAAUUACUACAAACAUUAUUCUAAUCAGGAAAAAAGAUUUAGCAAAAGAAACGUAAAGAGUUUCCAAAUUAUACCUGGUCAUGCCCGUGACGUUGAGUAUCAAGCAAUUUUCUUCCUGCAAAAUGAAGAAGAAUUGGAGUAGAUGAGUUAAAUUUCAGCUUCUAAAGUUGCCUGUGCUAGAAAGCAGAGGGCUCUGUUUUGUAAACAGAGAGGGGCUAAUAAAUAUACCUUCAGCUUGGAACGUUGACAUGAGAAUGAGAAGUGAAAUUGUAAGACAGGCUAGUGUUUGGUGACAUGUGAAAUUCUGAUUCCAGCCCAUUUCAAAUACCAAAAGGAAUGAUUGACUUGAAAGUGAAUUUACCUCCUUUUUGUUGUGUGUAUAUAUAUAGGAGUAGUUGAGUUUGGUUGGAGGAAAGCCUAGCAAAUGAAGAAAGAAAGGGAAAGGUGUGAGUGAUGUAGAUGUGAGCAAAAAGUGGGUAAGAGUUUAAAAGCAAUGGAUGAAAAUGAUGAGUGAUUGAAUGAGUACUUAAUCAGAAGUCGCCUUCGUUGGAAGUGUAAUAGAACAAAGUGAAAGACAGAAGAGGAUGAGUAUUGCACAAGGCUGAAGGCUUCAAUGUAAGUGAAAAGGGAAGAACCUAAACAACUCCCCUCGUGCCAUGAGCCACCCUUCUCUGUUUCAGACAACUAAAAUACGCACUCAUAUACGGUUGAAAAACCAGCAUACAAACAAACAAGACACUCUUAUAAUACACCAUGUAAACCAUUUUUUUAUGUCUAUCAGGUCAUCCAAAUAAUAUCUACUAUACAAGAUCGUUUGAUACGUAGACUAAAUUAUCUCGAAAUUAUAGUUUCCCCUAAACUAACUUAUACUAUAUGGAAGGUGGUAUAAAAUACUCUUAUAUUGGAUGGGAUAAGAUGGGAUAUCUCAAGACUAGAAGUUUAGUAUUAGAUUUAUACCAUCAACAAAAUAUGAUGUAUGUCUAAUACCAAACUUAAGCAUGAGAUAUCUCACCUUAUAUCGGGUACUAAAUGAUGUUUUUUUAGAAAAAAAAAAAAGAAAGAAAAGAAAAACAGAAGGUUUGAAAGUGAAAUAUUGUACCUGCUCCAUUCAAUAAAUAAAGAUAGCUUGGUGGUAUCAAAAUUAAAAUAUAUACUAGGGGAUCGUUUGUUUGGUGGAUUAAGGAUAGUAAUUUCAGGAGUAUUUAGUCCCAUCAUUUUAGUAUAAAUGGAGGAAUAAUUUCAGGAGUAUUUAGUCCCAUCAUUUUAGUAUAAAUGGAGGAAUAAUUUCAGGAGUAUUUAGUCCCAUCAUUUUAGUAUAAAUGGAGGAAUAAUUUCAGGAGUAUUUAGUCCCAUCAUUUUAGUAUAAAUGGAGGAAUAAGUUAUCCCGUACGAAGAUGGAAUAAAAUAAUCUCAUGAAAUAUCUUUAUUUGUUCCACCCAGUGGCGGAGCCACAUUGAAUUCAGAGGGUUUGUCUGAACCCCCUUCUGUCUGAACCCCCUUCAUCGGAAAAUUAUAUUAUUUUUACAUGGUCAAAAAUAUUUUUAUGUAUAUAUAGUAUACGUUGAACCCCCUUCGACUAAUCCAUAUAUUUACUUCUGAACCUUCUCAAUAAAAAUUCUGACUCCGCCACUGAUUCCACUCCAUCAAACAAACGACCCUUGACAAUGUAUAUUACUUCAACUCUAAAAGAAAAGAUAUUUGGGAUGUUUGGAUAAGAAAGUAAGUUACACAUGGAUUAAUAAAGGAGAAAUUCUUUGUAUUGAACAAUUGAUUGAAGAUUGCUUGUAUUAAAAAUUGGAUAAACAUUAACUUAAACUUAUGUUUGAAAAGGAUUUUUAAUGAAAUCACUUGGGAUACGUUAUUCAUGUAUAAUUCAUCUUGACAUUGUUAUUCCAUAUUGCUCUAGAUAUAAAAUAAUACGCGGACUGAUGUAAAAGUUCCACCCAUAUUAGAUAUCUUGAAGUUAAUUAGCACUAACUGUUUAAACUAAUCAAGCAUGAGUUACAGAGUUAGUAAGAUAAACAAGAUAGUAAGAAUAUGUUAGUAUUUAUAGGACAAUAUUUGACUCACAUAAAAAUUUCGAAACGAAAAAAUAAACAUCGAAAGAUACUAAAUAUGUCACGAUCCGAAUCGAGGCCCUGGCCGUGACGAGCAUUCCGAACCAUGAAGGUCCGGACGCCCUUCUCUAUCUGGUAGUCAUGCACAAUAUUCAUAUAAAUAAAGAAGAUGAGGAAAUACAACUUAAUACGGAAUCAUGGUCAUACUCUGAACUCAAUUUAACAAUAAAGAAUUAAAAUCUAACAACUCUAGACAACUUCUAAACCAGUUUGCGAAAUCUCUAUAACAUGCUAGAAUGAUCACUGUCUGAAUCUAGGACAAGGUCCCCAGUGGACCCAAAUCAAAAUAAAUAACAUAGUCUGAAAUAAACAGGCCUUCUGGAAUAGAGAAGGCUCACCACUGCACAGUUUCUUCUCUCUGAAAUCUCUACUGCUUAGCUGGACCUCUAGAUUGAGCCUCAGACCCUGAAAGGUAGGAGGUCAAUACAGUUGUACUGGUACGCAAAGAAAAUUCAAAAUAAUAAUUUUUAUUCAAUAUAUAUGAGAGCAAUUUAAAACAAUUCAAAAACAUAUCAUAUGGUAAGAAUCACAUGGGCAUAUUUAAAAGACUCCAUAAAAUCAUCUCAACUCUAUGACACAUCUUUAUUUUACUUCUGCGCUAGGUGGUGUACCCUACAACUCUGAAAUUCCACGGGCUAUAUGGAAUCUGCCAUUAACUCGGCAGCCAAGCCACCAAUCCAAGUUUGCCGCAAGGGUCGGAGUCUUUGUCUCUAUUACGCCACAGAGUCGUCGCCAGCAUACAAUAAUAAUAUGCCCGUAUCGACAAAACACGGUUUUAGGCAAUGAGUCGAUUGACUCGUUCCUUCUUCGGGUAACCAUCUAACCCGCUUUAAGCCCAUUUUUAACUCUUUAAAACAUAUAUUCUCUGAAAUCAAACUCUGAAAACUCUAGCUCUGUUAUGGCAUACGUUUAUAUGGUAUCGUCAUAUCAUUGACUUGUAAGUCGCAUCUCUGAGCCAUUAAUAGCUUAUUAUAAUUCUCUUCUUUCAAAACAUAAGGUUUUGGACCACCAUAUCAAUAAAUCAUUUCAAAGAACUCUUUCUUAAAACUCAGGUAAACACAUGCAAGAAACUCUUUUUUUCAACAUUUCAAAUACACAAAGUGGUCAUGUCAAAGUUCUCAAUCACAUGCAAUCCUUUCUCUUUUAAACAAGGAUAUAGUUAUAUCAAGAAACUCUCUCUCAUCAUCUCUAAAUCAUGUUCAAAUACUAUGAUAUUAAGAAAACCACUUUCAAACCAUAAAACAUGUAUUUCAAAUCAUUCCUGACAAGAUCAUAAACUUCAAUUCAUCACAAGAGAAGGACUUCAUAAUUAUGCUCUCAAUCAAUCUUAAAAACUCAAUUUCAUACAUAUACAUAUGAGUAUAAAUCAAUUUAAGGGGAAAAGCCUAAAGGCCAAAUAAAUAAUAACAUUGAAACAUUCAGAAUGCAUAAUUUAAAACAUAGAUUUCAAAACCACUUUAUAAAUUCAUGCUUGAUAAACCUUAAAUCAUAUUCAAGUGUUUCCAUAAGCCCAUGUAAUUUUAGGAUAAACCCCACAUACCUUAGAUUAUGAAUUUUGGAUGAACGUUUACUUUUGGGAUUCUACUUGUGUUUCUAAUGGAUGAUUCUUGAAGCCCUCAGAUUGGAAAUUCCAAUUCAUGAAUCAAUUUCGAGAAUUGACGAUCAAAUCUUGAGUUCCCUUGGAUUUUUGGGUUGAAAUUCUAAGGAGUGUUCUUGAUGAAUUUUGAGGAAAAUAUCAAUAAAGUGGUGAUUUGGGAGUAUAAUCCCGUGUUAAGGAUAAAAAAGGGGUGGGAGGAAAUGACUAAAUUGCCCCUUUGGAAGCGGAUUUUAAAAAUUGAAACAACUGGGCAUCAACGCGAUAGGCGACACGGCGCGUCGAUGCCAUCGACGCAAUACCUGACGCGCCGCGCCCUAAUCGCGCCAAGCCUCAGUACUUUUGCCUGGUAGUUUCUGCACAAAAUUGACCAAUGCGAUGGGCGACGCGGCGCGCCAAGAUCGCGUUGGUCCACUAUUUUAGGACACCAAACAAGGUAUAAGCGCAGCUCAAAAAAUUCAAAACUUGUUCGAGAUGUACUAUCGACUUACCCCAUCGUGGAACAACUUAAAAAUUAACUAUUGGAGGUCGGGAAGGUCGUAAAAUAACUCCUCAAAGAUUUGGAGCUCAAAAUGAGACUAAGUCCUUUUGAUACUUAGAAAAAUUUUCAAGUUUUCAACUCUAUAAUCAUGCUACUAGGAGAUAACACAUGUAGGACUUUUGCGGGGUAUUACAUUAUCUCCCCUUGGGAUAAUUCAUCCCCGAAUGAUGACGUGGAACACAGACAAGCACGAUUUCAAGUAUACUAAAGGCAUAAAAAGAAUAAGGCAAAGAUUGUACCUUCCGUUUCGUCACCCACCGGAUAAAAAAGGUUUGGGUAUGUUGCCCACAUAUCAUCUUCUGAUUCCCAAGUAGCUUCUUCAAAUUUCUGAUUUUUUCACAACACCUUAAGCGAAACUAUUUUCUUGCUCCCUAGCUUCCGGACUUGACGUUCUAGAAUAGCAACGGGUUCCUCCUUGUAAACCAAUGAGUCUUUCACAUUGAUCUCCUCUACAGGCAACACUAAAGAAUGAUAUCCAAUAAUGAUCUCCAAUACACUUCUUCAACAUGGAUAUGUGAAAUACGGGAUGGAUAGAAGCUAGACUUGUGGGCAAUUCUAACUCAUAAGCAACCCCACCUAUCCUUCUCAAAAUCUGAUAUGGCCCUAUAUAUUGAGGACUAAACUUUCCUUUUUUCCCAAAUCGUAUAACUCCCUUCAUAGGAGAGACUUUGAGAAAUACCCAAUCACCAACCUCAAAUUCUAACUCCCUUCUUCUAACAUCGACAUAGAAUUUUUGUUGACUCUGAGCUAUUUUAAGUCGUUCUCUAAUGAUUUUCACUUUCUCCAUUGCCUGAUGAAUACAGGCCCAAACAAUUGCGUUUCACCCACUUCAUAUGUAAUGCCCUGAAUCUGGUACCUAGAGCGCUACACGAUGCUCAUGACCCCAAAGGACCACAAGCUAACCCAUGACUGAUAUUUGUACCUGUAUACUGCAUGAUAUACCAUAUAAAUGUGGAAAUAUGAACUGAAAGUCCAUAAGGUUCAAAUCUGUAACAUAACUGAUAAAUCAUAACAUAUGUAUGGGGUAUGAAAUACCCAAAACACUUAAAUAACUGUCUGAAAACACUAGUCUGAGAAGUCUCUAACUGACUAAACUGUCUAAAUAAGGAGUUGAUGGGACAUGUCCCCAACUAACUCCAACUAAUAAAUUAAUUAAUGAGAUACUAAAGAAAUAAUCAUGUCCUCGAAGGAUGAGGACUCACUACUAACUUACUGCUGAUAUUUAGAAUCUACUGAUGCUAUGGAGCUCGUACUUCGGAACCUAUGGUAUAAAACACCAUAGCGCAAAUGCGUCAGUACUUUGAAUGUAUUGGUAUGCAUGUGAGGUAGGCUAAAUGCAUGGGGUUCAUAUGCAUGAACAAUACUGGCUAACUGACUAAUAUGAAUGUGAGAAUACAUGCUUGAACACAUAGUAACUAUAUCUGAGAUCGUGAUAACAUGAGUUUACUGAUAACUAACAUGAUUGAUAACUGAGUUCUGAUGACUGAUAUAACUGAUAACAUGAGUGACUGUAUCUGACAGUCCUAAAUCUGAUAGAACUAGCUGAGUUUCAUACUGUUCUGAGUUGGUUGUAUCUGACAGUCCUGAAUUCUGUAACUGAAAUUGUGGGAAGUAGUUAUCUAACCGACAUACCCCUAAUACGCUAUUAUGGCUGAGUUGGGGUCCAAUCUAUAACCUCAAUUGAAAGAGUAUCAAUACCGUGCCACUGGUAAGGACAAGCUGUGAGUGACUCUCAUCUGAUAGUGUCCCCAAAAGAGAACGGUGGGGACCUCAUCUGAUAGUGCUUAUUUGCCUCAUCAACCCUCAUCUGACAGUGUUGAUGUCUCAACCUAUGUUGGCUACAUAGUUCUGGAAUGCAAGGAUGACUUCUAAGAAUCACACCCUCAUCUGAUAGUGUGUGUUCCCAUCUGUGGAUUCACUCGGUGCUAAUUCCUACUCCUAUUUGAAUAGACACUGAACAUGAAUUACUGAACUGAAUUAACUGAAUUUUAUUGACUGACAGAAUAGUACUGAGAUUACUGAAUUACUGAGAUUUCCUGAGUCACAUGAUUGACUGAGUUCUAUAGAUCAUGGCUUGACUGAGGAUAUCGUGAAACAUAUCACUGACUCUAGGCACACAACCAUAUUUUUCUGGUACAAGUACCCCCAAGACUCGAUGGAAGGAAACUGACAAGGCAUGAUAUUCUUGAAUGCAUGACCAAUCAUCAACAAUCCAUAAUACAAUAAUUGGAGAUAUUUCAUGGGCAUUUGAUUAUCAUAGCUUGGUACAUGAAUAAGAUAGCAUGUAUACAUAGCAUAAUUUCAUAAAAACAAAUUUCAAUACAUAAGAAUAACAUAGAAGUCAUUUUGGAUCACAAUUUAGCUAUAGUGCAUAAUUUUUAUCUUCCUAGGCAUUUCAUCAAACACCUUGCAUGCACCCAUAGGGCAUAGGCUGAAUCAUCAAAUUGAUACAUUAUGAAUAACUCAAUUUAUGGAUUUCACUCUCUUGCUAAUGUAGUUUCAUGAAAAACACAUAAAUAUUCAACCUUGGGAAUUAUAUAACAAGAUUAACAUGGUUACAAUCAACCCACAACAUAAAUAUUAUGAUUUGUAAUUUAAAAUAGGGUUUUUGAGCUUUAUGGAUAAAAGGAAUCCAUAAAUCAACACAACACAUACCUUAGUUCUUGGUUUAGCGAAGAUUGACGGAGAGACUUUCUUGAAAUUGAAUCCCCAAUUGAAACCCUAGCUUGUUCUUGAGAUAAAAUUGAGAGAAACUAGUUUAUUUUGGGUUCCAAAUAGUUGAAUCUCGUGUUAAAGGGCUUAAAUAGGGGUAGAAAAUUGACCCUUUUAACCCUGAACACGUCUUUUAAAUUGGUGAAAAUUUCUCGAAUUGGACCCCUGGCGCGACACGGUGCUAUCGCGCUAUGUCACUGGAAUUUGACAAUUGGGAAAUAGGGGAAUAGCGUGAUGCGGAGCCAUCACAUUGUCACUUCAUUUGAGAUCUGAAAGUAUGGCGCGACGUGCCACUAUCACGGACCCCUACUGGAAUUUGACAAAUUCCAUUUUCUCUUGUGGCGCGGGGCGCCACUGACUAAUAUGAUACUGUUUUACGAUGGGAACUUGAAAUAGUUAUAACUUCUUACCCAGUUAUCGGAUUUAGGCAAAUUUUAUAUCGAUGAAAAGCUUAUUGAAUUUCCCACAUGAACCGUGGCCUCAGACCCUAGAAGGUAGGGGGUCAAUACAGUUGUACCGGUACGCAAAGCAAAUCCAAAAUAAUAAUUUUUAUUCAACAUAUAUAAGAGUAAUUUAAAAUAAUUCAUAAAUAUAUCAUAUGGUAAGAAUCACAUGGGCAUAUUUAAAAGACUCCAUAAAAUCAUCUGAACUCUAUGACACAUCUUUAUUUUACUUCUGUGCUAGGUUGUGUACCCUACAACUCUAAAAUUCCACGGGCUAUAUGGAAUCUAUCAUUAACUCGGCAGCCAAGCCACCAACCCGAGUUUGCCGCAAGGGUCGGAGUCUCUAUCUGUACUAUGCCACACGGUCGUCGCCACGUACAAUAAUAAUAUGCCCGUAUCGGCAAAACACGGUUUUAGGCAAUGAGUCGAUUGACUCGUGCCUUCUUCGGGUAACCACCUAACCCUCUUUAAGCCCAUUUUUAACUCUUUAAAACAUGUAUUCUCUGAAAUCUAACUCUGAAAACUCUAGCUCUAUUAUGGCAUACAUUUAUAUGGUAUCGUCAUAUCAUUGACUUGCAAGUCGCAUCUCUAAGCCAUUAGUAGCUUAUUAUAAUUCUCUUCUUUCAAAACAUAAGGUUUUGGACCACCAUAUCAAUAAAUCAUUUCAAAGAACCCUUUCUUAAAACUCAUGUAAACACAUGCAAGAAACUCUCUUUUUCAACAUUUCAAAUACACAAAGUGGUCAUGUCAAAGUUCUCAAUCACAUGCAAUCCUUUCUCUUUUAAACAAGGAUAUAGUUAUAUCAAGAAACUCUCUCUCAUCAUCUAUAAAUCAUGUUCAAAUACUAUGAUAUUAAGAAAACCACUUUCAAACCAUAAAAUAUGUAUUUCAAAUCGUUCCUGACAAGAUCAUAAACUUCAAUUCAUCACAGGUGAGGGACUUUAUAAUUAUGCUCUCAAUCAAUCUUAAAAACUCAAUUUCAUACAUAUACAUAUGAGUAUAAAUCAAUUUAUGGGGAAAGGCCUAAAGGUCAAAUCAAUAAUAGCAUUGAAACAUUCAGAAUGCAUAAUUUAAAACAUAGAUUCCAAAACCCCUUUAUAAAUUCAUGCUUGAUAAACCUUAAAUCAUAGUCAAGUGUUUCCAUAAGCCCAUGUAGUUUUAGGUUAAACCCCACAUACCUUAGGUUAUGAAUUUUGGAUGAACGUUUGCUUUUGGGAUUCUACUUGUGUUUCUAAUGGAUGAUUCUUGAAGCCCUCGGAUUGGGAAUUCCAAUUCAUGAAUCAAUUUCGAGAAUUGAUGGUCAAAUCUUGAGUUCCCUUGAAUUUUUGGGUUGAAAUUCUAAGGAGUGUUCUUGAUGAAUUUUGAGGAAAAUAUCAAUAAAGUGGUGAUUUGGGAGUAUAAUCCCAUGUUAAGGAUAAAAAAGGGAUGGGCGAAAAUAACUAAAUUGCCCACUUGGAUGCGGAUUUUAAAAACUGAAACAACUGGGCAUCGACACGAUCAGAGACACAGCAUUGACAUCGACGCGAUACUUGAUGCGUCGCGCCUUAAUCGCGCCAAGACUCAGUACUUUUGUCUGGCAAUUUCUGUACAAAAUUGACCAACGCGAUGGGCGACGCGACGCGCGAAGAUAGCGGUGGUCUACUGUUUUGGGACACCAAACAAGGUCUAAGCGCGGCCCAAAAAAUUCAAAACUUGUCAUAGAUGUACUAUCAACUUACCCCAUCGUGGAACAACUUAAAAAUUAACUAUCAGAGGUCGGAAAGGUCGUAAAAUAACUCCUCAAAGAUUUGGAGCUCAAAAUGAGACUAAGUCUUUUUGACACUUAGAAAAUUUUUCAAGUUUUCAACUCUAUAAUCAUGCUACUAGGUGAUAACACAUGGAGGACUUUUACGGGAUGUUACAAAAUAUAUUCCUAAAUUUUAUGACUAACUAUGUAAUGACAUUUUUAUGACUAAAAGAACACACCACUAAAUAUAAAAUGAGAAGUUAACUUGAAAAGUUUUGGAAAAUAUUAUGAAACAGAGAAAAAAUAAUUAUUUUCUCAGUCCCAAUUUAUAUUACUCAUUUUUUUGAAUUCGUUUCAAAAAUAACAACACAUUUUUAUAUUUACUAACAAUUAAACUUUUAAAUGUUCAUUUUAUUCUUAAAAAAAUAAGGCUCAAAAAUUUUAAUAGGGGACGUUUUCUCUCAGCGCAUGUUAGCCUAACGUGCUCACCAUGGAGAAGAGAACACAUUUCCCUACUCUGAAAGCCAUAGAAGCUCAGGCGAGUAUCCAGCAGAUGACGAUGCAAUCCUGAAAGAGAGGAAACCUAGGAAAGUAAGGUGAAACAAUGGUAAAACCAGGAAAAUGUGAGCAAUUAGGAAUUUUCAGUGUGGAGGAAAGUAAGUCAACAUCGUUGAGGGGUAAGGGAGUGGAGGCAGUUACAGUUGAAGAUUUACCAUCGCAAAUGAAAAUAGAUGUUGUGAUUACGGAAAAUUUGAUUGGAACAAUAGAUGCAAUAGGUGCUACGAAGAACCCUGUGGAAUAGAAAUCUCUUGAGAUACAGGAGUGGGAUCAACUUACUUGUGUAUCAACAGAGUCAAGCAAAAGGUCAUGGGCAGAUAAAGUUGAGGAAGAAUCUAAGGCGGAGAAUGGUAGGAAACCUCCGAUUUGGGAUAAUUUUGUCCAAUCCCGAGUGUAGACACGUGAUUUUUGAUCCUCCCUAAAUUUUAACUUGUUUAUCGAUAUUAAAAAUUUAUAUUUAUAUUUAUUCAUAUAUUAUUUUGAUUAUUAUUUUUAUUUUUAGUAAAUUUUAGUAAAAAAAAUGAAAAAAAUUUCUUUUAUAAAUUUUUAAUAAAUAAAUUAAUAGUUUUAAUAUUUAUUUUAUUAUAUUUAUAUUUGUCUAUUUAUAAAUUGUUAUUAUAUUUUGUUAAAUAUAAAAUUAAUUAAUUAUUAUUAUUUUAUUUAUUUUUACUUUUAUUUUAUUUAUUUAUUUAUUAUUAUUAUUAUUAUUAUUAUCUUUAUUUAUUAUUAUUACUAUUAUUUUCUAUAUAUAAAAAUAAAAUAUAUAUAUAUAUAAAAAAUAAUAAAAAAUUGAAUUUUAAAUACCCUUUUUUCCUUAUCCGUUGAUGAGGGAUUCCCUCCUAAAGAAUAACUGUUCCCUCCCUUAAAUCCUUUAUUUUAGGAUUCUCUCUACGUACACUAUCAGUGAUCCAAUACUAAAAAAUUAAAGUGUUGAAAAUGACAGUAAUUUUUUUUUUUUUUAAAGGGUGAAGUUGAAUUUGGAUUCGUGUUCAAGAUUCCAGUGACGGUUAUUUCUUGUUUCAUUAUUUCGUUUGAGUCAAUCACAGGUUUAUUUUUUAUAUCCUGUACCACUCAUAGUAUGAAUUUAUUUUAUAAAUGCAUGAAUAAAAACAACGUUAAGUUGCUUUAUGCAUUAUUUAGUAAGCAUAGUUAAUUGAUUAUAUGGGUUUAUUAUCAUUGUAUGCUAUUUGAUUAAGUUAUAACAUAUUUAUUUAUGUUUUGAGUAAAAAAAACUGUGUUUUGUUAAUUUUGUUAAAGUAAAUUUGAAACGAAAAAGAGAAAUACAUGAAAGAAAUUAACACUGUUUGAUGUACAACAAUACACAUAGCGUUUCGAAAAUUGCAAUGAAAUCCGGAUAAAUAAAAAAAAAUCCAUAAAAUCAGAUGAUUUAGAGAGCAAAAUUUGAGAGAAAUCAUAUGGUAGAAAAUUGAUUGGAAAAUAUUUUUAUUUCUUAAAGUUCUCCGGCAAAUUCAUAUCGAAAACUCGCCGGAAAAAUGCUAUAUCGGAAACUCGCCGGAAAAAUGCUAAACCAGUAAAAAAAUUAGCAAAUCAACCACCAAAACUCCUUCCCAUCGUGGCAUUAACUCCACUUGCCGCCACUGGAUCUGCCACCUCCAUCCGGACGAGCCUCUACUAUCCACCGCCACCUUUCUUCCCCUUUUUCGGUGAUACCAGCCAGCUCCCGCUGGCACCGGAAAACCCAUCCAUCGCUGACCUCUUUUUCCCCUCCUUUGCACUGCUCUGUUCCCCUCUCUCCUUUCCCACAGCGCCACUACUGCUUCUUCUUCUUCUCCAAAACCUGUCAGAAUUUGUUGGCAUCAGUAAUGGUGAAUAGCAGUGAUUUUUGAGAAAGAGAGAGAAGAAGGAAAAUAGGGUCUGCUAGUUGUAUUAUGCGUGUAUUUUGACAGAUAUGUGCGUAGUUUAUUUUACAAACUAAGGAAUCUAAGAUUAGUAUAAUAUGUAGCAUUUUGUAAUUUUUUUUUAUUAUUAUUAUUUUAUUUUAUUUGUUGUUAUUAAUAAAGUUUUAUUAUUUUAUUAUUAAAUUAAUUAAUUAAUAUUAUUUUUUUUAAAUGAAAAAUUGUUCUAAAUCACUAUUAAUGUUAGGUAGAAUUUUGAAUAUACACACCUUCAAUACUAGAUAAAUUUUAGACAUGUUUAAAAUAUUCGUUUUAAUUAAGAAUGCGGCGCAUCUUUCUGAGACAUUUUAAAAUUCAUGGAUGCAAUAAUGCACCUUGAUAAAUAUUUUUCCUACAAAAUUAAUUUACUAUGAGUUGAUAUGAGAAGUAUAGACAAGUUUUAGUAUAAUUAAAAAUGAGCGAUUUUAAGCCUUAAUAUAAUUUAUUAAAAUAAUUUAAGUCAAGAUAAGUUGAGAAAGUGACCUUCUAGAACCACGGGACUCGAGGGGUGCCUCCCACCUUUUCUUCGGUCAACAAAAUUCCUUAUCCAGUCUUCUAUUUUCGCAAACCAUUAAAGAGUCAUUUCCUUUUGACUAGGGAUUCAAAAGGUGACUUGGAACACCAUAACUCAAUUUCAAGUGGAGACUCUGUAAAUAAAUUAAUCCCUAUUCAAUAUCGUCACUUUAAUUGGAAAAACCCUUCGACUCGAUCCCCUCAGGCGAAAAAAAGGGUGUGACAUCUCUGGCGACUCUGCUGGGGAUUUAAAUAGAAUUCGAGCUUUUUAUAUUGACUUAUAGUUGCUUUAAUUAUUGUUGAUAUUGUGUUUAUUGGCCCUAUGUGCUACUUGUCGCUCAUUUACCGCUUUGAUACUGAUUGAACUAUAUUAUAUACUGUCUCAUCUUGUGCACCCCUUCUGAGUCUCUGAAAUAGGAUAUAAGAAAUGCAGCACAUGCAUCCUACUUUCUUUUAGAGAUGGCCAGAGUGUCAAGGCACCUGGUGAAGUAUAUAGUCACACAUGUUAGGCAGGGUUAUCGACAACAAACCCGGUGUUGCCCUGCUACCGACCAAGUUAUCCCUCCCUGGCUCGAGUGUCCGCUCGGGUAAGCCAGUCUAGACACCUAUCUCUAUUAGGUUUAAACUUAGAAGAACUGAAAACUCAGAAUUUGGUUAUCCCUAUUAGGUGCCGCUUUAUUUGCAUCAUAUGCAUUUGACUUAGCGGGACUCGGCACAGGGUCGGUUCUGUCUAGGACACGUAACUUACUUUAUAAAGACCAACAUAUGCAUCCUACGUGCUCUUUGACAUUUUUUUGAAGACUAUUUGUGUGUUGACCGGCUUUUAGGCAACAUUAAAAUGCAAGAGAUUAAACUAUCGUCACAUUUAGUAAAUCAUUUUUGAAAGAAAAAAAUUAUUUUUAAAAGAGAAAAUUUUUAGUUACUUAGUUUUAUGGUUUUUAUGAACUACGAGUGUCUAAUUCUCAUUUUUUAGUGGGAUACGUAGGAUGUCCUAUCCGAGAUAAGAUCCUGGUUUUGAAAAAAUAAUAAUAAUAUAUUUAUUCACAAAUUUAUUGAGGGAUAUUUUUGAAAAAAUAUUAAGAAGAAGAAAAAAUGAUUAUUUUCAUGAAUAUUAUUAUCUUUAUUUUACUUUUUAUUUUUCAAAAUUAAUUUUAACGUAAAAAUCAUAAUAGCCUGAACCUUUAGGGGUCGUGAGGCUGAAAGUUUUAUACAACUUCAUACAUAAAACAAUCUUUCUUCUUUUCUUUAUUUCUAAAUCUUUUUAUUUUAUUUUUAUUUUAUUUUUUAAAUAUAAUUAGGAGGGUAUUGUCUCUAAACAUAUAGUUAAAAUUGUCUAGAGGUCUGUUAUUGUAAAAUUUUUGAUAGAGUCAAUUUAAAUAAGUGUUUUUCCUAAAAAUAUUAUCAUUCAUGUUUUUCUCAUUUUGAUUUUGAUAAAAUUGUUCUUUGCAACUAAGUCUCAAUAAUGGCCGCACUAGAUUUCACGAGUCACGUUAAAAAUUCUUUUCAAAAAUUGAUGAAUUAAGUCCUGCCUAAGUCUAGACAUUGAUUAAUCUCGUGUCCUUGUCAAUAGGUAUAAAAUGUCUUCUCCUGUUCGUGGAAAACGUCCAAAGAGAAAGAGGGAUCGGAGAGUACCGCUUCAGGUUGUGAAUUGUACCCCUUUGCAGUUUUGGUUGUGGUGGAACGAAAUGGAUACAUUCAAUUAUGAUGAGAUACAUAAGUACUUGGGGUUUUUUGACGAGUAUUAUGUCAAUCAAGCCUAAUAGGGAGGUGAUUGAUGCAUUACUAACCUUUUGGGAUCCGAAGAACAAUGUGUUUUGUUUUUUGAAUUUUGAGUUGACUCCUACUGUAGAGGAGAUAGCGGCGUAUGUUGGAUAUGGGGAUAUGCAUCGGAAGAAACUUAUAGCCCCAAGACUCAUUUUGAUAAACAGAUUCUGCAAGCCAUGAACAUACGAAACUCAAAAGAAGAAUAAAUGAAAAAAGGUUAGGUUUCCUUGCAAUUUUUGUAUGACAGAUAUGGAAGAUAGGAGGGGUUUGAAAAGUACGAUAAACAGCUUUAUAAUAAGGAAAGUUUUGAGGCUUGGAAAGUUCACAGAAGAUUUGCAUUCAUGGUAGUCUUUUUAGGUACUAUGGUUUUCCCGAGGAGAGAAGAAAAAAUUAAUAUUCGUUUAGCGGGGGUGGUACAGAUACUGAUUAAGAAAGAUUACACUAUGGUACCAAUGAUCCUAGCAGAUAUCUACCAUGCUUUGACCAUUUGUCAGAAAGGAAAGAGUUUUUUCGAGGGAUGUAAUAACUUGUUACAGAUGUGGAUUGUGGAGCAUCUUUACCGACGUCCUACCAUGGAAAGAUUUAAUCCUGAAAGAUUCAAUCGCAUCAAAGAUUAUGAAGAGAGGUUAGAGAAAUAUAAAUGCCCAAAAGGAGGUAGAGAUUGGGAUAAGCUUUUUCAUUCUCUGACAGCAGAUAAAAUCACUUGGAAUCUCCCUUGGUUCCCUUUGAGGCAAGUCAUACAUAGUUUUGUCAUUCGGUCGUUCUUAUUAUUAAUGGGUAUUAGGGGUGUUCAACCAUAUGUUCCAUUGAGAGUUUUACGUCAUCUAGGAAGACGUCAAACAAUUCCCAUUACGGAAAAUAUGACCGAGUCUGUAUUUGAGAUCAGACCAGAGAUCCUACUUUCGGAGGAAUUGGCCCAGCAAAUUUGGGAGGGUUGCCAUAUCAUGGGGAUUAAAACGAUGGUCAUAGAGUGUGAGAAAGGAGAAGUGCACCCAGAUUACCGUGAAUGGUUUGAAGAACAGUCAAGUCCACCAGUCAGACCAGAAAGAUCAGUUAGGGGACCUAUAGAUCAGGAAGUUGCAAUCAGGAUAGGGAUUGAGAGAGCCAUGUGAGCAUAUCAUGAGGCCAACCAAGAUUUGAGAGCAGAAUUAGAGCAUGCCAGGGCAAAAAUAGACGAACAACAAAGGAAAUUUGCUGAAGAUAAAGCUAAAUCAGCAGAUAUUGAGGUUGCACUUCAGCUAAAUCAGCAGAUAUUGAGGUUGCACUUCGGGGACAAAUCAAAAUGGCUACCACUAGAGGGUCAGACAUUGCAGAACUUGCCAAAUCUCGCCGACAGCAACUGCAAGAAGUUGAAAAGAACAUGCAAGAAGAAUUUGAUCGAGAAGGAUCUCAGUGGAUCUGUGAAAGAAGAAUAUUGCAAGAACAGUUGGAGGUUGCUUCUUCUCGUGAACAGAGUGCAAAAGAGAUGGUUGAUUUCUGAGAUCUACAGGCCCAUGAAUGGGAUCAGGCCUUCAGUUCCCUUCGAGGGAAUCGUGUAGCACAUGAUACUACCAGAAUGUGUUUGGAUUAUUAGCAGUUGGACCGUGAAGACUUUUUGGCACAAGUACCAACUUUUGCACAACAUCUCACUACUUUAUUGGAGGACAUAUACUUGAAUUUGGGAGGACAUAUUAAGCCGAAGUCUCCUUGAAUGGAUAGGUGUUUUCUUUGUCAUAGUUUUUCAUUUUCAGUUUUAAAACUUCUUGUUUAGAUGUUAUUUCUUUUAGUUUUCUGGUGUGAGUUAGUAGAUUUUAUUUUAGGAGUUGGGUUAGUUAUUUUGUCGUAUUUAUAUUAUGGAAUGUAAUGAAGUUGAAUGUUUAUUUCUAUAUAUAUUACAUAUAUUUUACUUCAUUUACUUUAUUUAUUUUCUUCAAUAAAAAAAAGAGACAAAACAAUUAUUUUAUUAAAUUCAUCCCGAACUACGCAAGAUCUGAUUCAUGUCCUGGCAUGAUACGCAGGCAACCCUCCAAAGGUUUCAAUUAUAACUUUUGAAAAAAAUAUGUCUAGAAAAGCUGGGAUGAAACACAAAGUCUUCCAUGAUAGGUUGGAAAAUGCAUAUAGAAGCAUGACAUAUAGCUUGGCAUUAUAAUGUGUUAAAAAUGUAACACUCACCCGUUUGCUACUUGGUUACACAAAGAUAAAGUAAUUGGUGGUUGUUUUGUGGUUUAAACUGGCAUCAGAUCCGUAUAACACCAGAUACAACGGUAAAAGAAAAAUGACACCUAGAGAAGGUAUAGGGUCUGACAGUGAAGAAGAGCAAAAUCAGUUGAUUUCGCAGGAAGUAGCAUCAAUAGAAGAAAUAAAGUCAUUGAAACAACAGAUGGUAGAGAUGUACCAAGCUUGGUUGAAUGGACAAGCCCUUCCUUCUUUAAUCCCUGGACUUUCGACUUUAAAUGAUCCAAAUUCUGACCCAGCUCAAACUAGUGAUCCAUUUUACCCCACCAGGAUUCAACCUAUUUGCUAAUAUGUCUGGUGUUGCUGGUACUUCUACCAUGCGCCCACCAAAUCCAUCUGUCAUAAAUAACCUGCUUUUUACUUUUAUAGCACCAGCUACUGCGGGUACUCAACCGACAGUACCAAAGAAUAUGGGGGAGCCAAGUCAUGAUCUGAUGUAUCCUCCUGAAAUGACUUUUAAAACCCAAAAUCCAUAUUAUCAUGUUUAUCAACAUGAUACUUCUAUUGUGACUGAGCAGAUUGCUAAGAAUGAGGAAUCGGAGGAGAUGGCUAGAAAAGUUAGAAGUUUGGAACAGAGUAUGAGAAAUAUGCAAGGAUUAGGCGGACCAAAAAAUGUUUCAUACAAGGAUUUGUGUAUGUUUCCUGAUGUCCAUUUGCCUAUAGGGUUCAAAAUGCCAAAGUUUGACAAAUACGAAGGACACGGCAAUCCUGUAGCUUAUUUGAAAAAGUUUUUGCAAUCAAUUAAGGGGAGUAGGAGGAAAAGAAGAAUUAUUGAUGGCUUACUUUGGAGAAAGCCUUACAGGGAUAGCUUCUGAAUGGUUCAUUGACCAAGACAUUUCCCAUUAGCACAUAUGGGAUGACAUGGCUUGGGAUUUCGUCCAAUAAUUUCAAUAUAAAAUUGAGAUAGUGCCAUAUCGUACUAAGCUUGCCAACAUGAGAAAAAAGAUAACUGAAAGUUUUCGAGAAUAUGUUAUCCAAUAGAGAGAGCAGGCUUCAAGAGUCAGACCAUCGAUAAAGGAAUCUGAAAUGAUUGAUAUCUUUUUUCAAGCACAAGAACCUGAUUAUUUUCAUCACUUACUUUUUACAAUCGGAAGCACACUUGCUGAAGUUAUUAAAGUUGGAUAAAUGGUAGAGAAUGGAAUAAAAUCAGAAAAGAUCAUCAUCUAGGCCGCUUUGAAAGAAACAACACAGGCAAUUCAAAGUGGUGCAGGAAGUUUUGGGGGAAAGAAAAGAAAAGAGGAUUAGCAACUGUCGUAACAGGUCCACGACAAAAUUGGAGAGGUGCGCAUCAACCAUACACACAAAAUCCAUUAUAUUUCAUUCCAUCACCCCAAUAUUCUAUUUACAGUGCACAACUAUAUGCUCGGUCUCCUUUUUACCCGCAAUGGCGAGCACCAACCAUCCAAAAUCAUCCACCGGUUCCGCAAGUUCAAAGAGGCCCUCCUAGGUCUAAUUUUUGACCUAGAGCAGAAUUCAAAAGGGAUAAUAUGGGAAAAGAUAAUUUCACUCCUAUUGGAAUAUCUUACACCAAUUUAUUUCAUAGGUUAAGAAAAUGAAUGUCCUAAACCCAAUUGAGAGAAGGAUUCCAAAUCCUCCUCUAAAGAAUUUGGAUUAUUCUAGAAGAUGUGAAUACUGUUCCGAUGCCUCAGGGCACCCAUUUAUUUCAUAGGUUGAGAAAUAUUGGUAUUUGAAAAGAGUCAUUCAAGAGCUGAUUGACACCCAAUAGAUCAUGGUACAAAGUCCAGACUCUUCAAAUGUCAAUCAAAAUCCGCUGCCAGAUCAUAAUAAAACAAACAUACUCGAAGUGAUACCCAGUGGUGAAGAUGCUGCAAUAUCCUUUAUGCCGAUCAUUAAGAUUAAAAAUGGUUCGAAAAAAUUAGCAAAUGUUGUAGAUUUGACAAAAGAAAAACCUGCAGAAGCGGAGGUGGUGAUAACAAAACCCGAAUCAUUGAAUGUUCCCUUAGUGGUGGGGAAAGAGAUCUCAGAAAAUGUUGGGUUAAGUCAAGUAAAUCCGAAACUCAUUGUUCCUGGAACAUCCUCAAAGCCUCUCUUAAUCAUAAAAGGAGCUCCCGUAGCUCCCAUUGUUAUUAAACCAGUCUCACAGUUGCCUAUGGUAAAUACUAAGGCAAUUCCUUGGAAUUAUGAUCGCGUUGUGGUGAUACACAAGGGGAAAGAAGUGAUUGAAGAUGUUGAUAAAGUAGGAGCUAGGAUUAACUCGAUCUGGAAGAUGUUAUGUCCCAGUAGAGUUAAGAAAGAAUAAACAAGUCAAUGAAGAACGAAUGACAUUCAAGAAGCCUAUUACUAAUGAAGAAGAUGAAGAAUUCUUAAAGAAAAUGAAAUUUCCAAAAUAUUCUAUUGUAGAAUAGUUGAAGAAGACACCAGCACAAAUUUAUUUAUUGUCUUUAUUAAUACAUUCAGAAGAACACCGCAAGGCUAUAAUGAAUAUUCUUAACAAAGCAUGUGUUCCCAGUGAGAAUAAAGUGAAUCAACUGGAAAAAAUUGUUGAAAGGAUCCUUGAAGCAAAUAAGAUUACUUUCUCAGACGAUGAAUUGCCUGUGGAAGGUACUGGACAUAAUAAGGGUCUCUACAUUACUGUAAAAUGUGAGCAUUCCAUCUUUACUCGAGUGUUAAUUGAUGGAGGAUCAGGCACUAACAUUUGUCCUCUGUCAACUUUACAAAAUUUGAAUGUUAAUAUAGAAAGAAUCCGACCUAACAAUGUAUGUGUCAAAGGUUUUGACGGAUCAAAAACUAAUGCCAUCAAUGAAAUAGAAUUCAUAUUGACAAUCGGUCCUGUAGAUUUUGCUUUAGAUUUUCAAGUGUUGAACAUUGAUGCUUCAUAUAAUAUGUUAUUGGGAAGGCCAUGGAUUCGUAGGGCUAAAGCAGUCGCAUCAACGUUGCAUCAAAUGGUCAAAUUCGAAUGUGACAGGCAAGAGAUAGUCGUUCAUGGUGAAGGAAACUUAUCCAUGUAUAAAGACUACUCUGUUUCCUCCAUCAAAGUAGAUACUGCAAACAGAGUAUCGAUUUAUCAAAUUUCUGAGGUAGUGGCUAUUGAGCAUAUCCUCGAGGGGAAUCUCAUCGCAAGACCACAAUUGUCCUCUGCAUUUGUUGUGGUAGUGAAUGAAAUGUUAAAGUAUGGUUUUGAACCAUAAAAAGGUUUAGGGAUGUUUUUGUAAGGCAUAAUUCAUCCAGCAAACCUCUGUGAGAACCUUGGUACUUUUGGUUUGGCAUACGAACCCACUAUUGAAGAUAUAAAGAAGGCUAAAAAGCGUAAGAAAGAGUCAUGGUCGCUUACCAAGCUGAUCCCGCCACUUUAUGAAUCCUUCAUCAAAGUCAACGUUGUUGGGUCCUCUAUGUUACCUACUGCAGAGUCAGUGAAUGAUGAUGAUACUGAGUUGAUUGGCCUUUUCCAAAAUAUGUUCAUUGAAGCUGAUAUGGUUGAAAUUGGGGAAGGUACCAGCAAUGUAGAUGUGCAUUUUAUCGAUUCUGAUGUCCAGUUUAAUAAUUGGGAGGCCACUCCUCUCCCUACUAUGAAGGAGUCUUGGUAGUUUGUUUGUUUUUUUUUCAGUCUUAGUAGUUGGUUUGUUUCUCCUUCUGUAAUUUGUAUCGUUCUAGUAUUGUAAUUCAGAUCUUUAACUUGGUAAUUUAGGUUAAAACUCUUUCUAGCUUUGUUUUUAAUAAAGUGCAGUCUUCCUUUAUUUUUAUUUUGAGUCUGAUAUUUAUUUAUUUAUUUUUAUUCAUACAGUUCUUUCUAUGUUGAUUCUAAUGAUAUGACAUGCAUGAAGAAUUGUCAACCAGAUUUAAAAACCCAAUCUAAUUAUGAAAUAAUGAAUAAUGAAGUUGAAUAUGAUGAAGGAGAAGCAUUUGAGGAUAUAAGAAAAGAUUUCAAACAAUUUGAGAACAAGUCAAACCCUAAUUUGGAGGAAACUGAAGCGAUCAAUUUAGGAGAUCAUGAAAAUAGCAGGGAGACUAAGAUAAGUGUACAUGCUCAAUCACAACAAAAGAAAGCUAUAAUUGAAGCUUUGCAUGAGUAUAAAGACAUCUUUGCGUGGUCUUAUAAUGAUAUGCCCGAUUUGAGCACCGAUUUGGUAGUUCAUAUGUUGCCAAUUGUUCCUGCCUUUCCUUCUGUCAAGCAAAAGCUAAGAAAGCUCAAAACUGAUAUGAGUGUAAAAAUCAAAGAGGAAAUCAUGAAGUAACUUAAGGAUAAAGUCAUUCGAGUGGCCCAAUAUCCUACUUGGUUGGCAAAUAUUGUCCCUGUUCCAAAGAAGGAUGGCAAAGUUCGGAUGUGUGUUGAUUAUCAGGAUUUAAAUAAAGCAAGUCCGAAAGAUAAUUUUCUACUUCCCAAUAUUCAUAUUUUGUUGGAUAAUUAUGCCAAACAUGAUCUUGCAUAUUUUAUAGAUUUUUAUGCGGGGUAUCACCAGAUCAUUAUGGAUCCAGAAGAUGCAGAAAAUACAUCAUUUAUUACUCCAUGGGGGACAUAUUGUUAUUGAGUCUUGUCUUUUGGACUAAAGAAUGCUGGGGCAACUUAUAUGAGGGCAGUGUUUCACGACAUGAUACACAAAGAGAUUGAAGUUUAUGUGGUUGAAGUUUAUAUGGACGAUGUGAUCAUUAAAUCAAAAGAGCAGUCUGACCAUGUCAAAGAUUUGAGAAAAUUCUUUGAAAGGAUUCGGAGGUAUGAUCUAAAACUUAACCCAGCGAAAUGUGCAUUUGGAGUUCCAUCGGAAAAACUCUUGGGGUUUAUAGUCAGUCAGUGCGGCAUUGAGUUAGAUCCUUCAAAAUAAAAGUUAUUCAAGAUUUACCUCCACCAAAGAAUAAAACGGAGGUGAUGAGUUUAAUUGAAAGGUUGAAUUAUAUCAGUUGAUCUAUUGCUCAGCUUACGACAACCUGCGAGCCAAUAUUCAAGUUGUUGAAGAAGAAUGCUAAAGUUGAAUGGACUGAAGAAUGUCAAGAGGCAUUUAACAGAAUUAAGAAGUACUUGUCGAAUCUGUCUAUCUUGGUUCCUCCAGUACCGGGCAUACCCUUGAUAUUGUACAUGUCUGUGUUAGACAAUUCUUUUAGCUGUGUAUUGGGUCAACAUGAUGUUACAGGAAGAAAAGAACAUGCCAUAUACUAACUUAGCAAAAAGUUUACCACUUAUGAGGCUAAGUACACUCUUCUUGAGAAAACAUGUUGUGCCUUAACUUGGGUAGCCCAAAAGCUGAAACAUUACUUGUCAUCUUAUACUACUUACCUCAUAUCUCGUAUGGAUCCUUUAAAGUACACUUUUCAGAAGCCUAUACCCACAGGAAGACUCGGGAAAUGGCAGAUAUUGCUCACAAAGUUUGAUAUUGUCUAUGUGACACGAACUGCAAUGAAAGCUCAAGCUUUAGCGAAUCAUUUAGCUUAAAAUCCUAUUGAUGAAGAGUAUGAACCAUUGAAGACUUAUUUUUCAGAUGAAGUGGUAUUGUAUGUUGAUGAGUUUGUUUCUAAUGAUAGCCAUUCAGGCUGGAAAUUGUUCUUUGAUAGAGCUGCUAAUGUAAAAGGAGUGGGGAUAGGAGCAGUUCUUAUUUUUGAAUCAGAACAAUAUUAUCCUAUAACAGCCCAACUUCGAUUCUAUUGUACCAAUAAUAUGGUAGAAUACGAAGCAUGCAUUCUGGGUUUAAGAUUAGUUAUUGACAUGGGAAUCUAAGAACUGUUAGUGUUAGGAGACUCAGAUUUGUUAAUCUAUCAAAUCCAAGGAAAUUGGGAGACUCGUGAUUCAAAGAUCCUACUAUAUCGAGGUUGUUUGUAAGAUCUAUGUCAAUGAUUAGUAUCAUUAAAAUUCAAACACAUUCCCAGAGCUCAUAAUGAGAUUGUUGAUGCUUUGGCGACCUUAUCUUCGAUGCUUGAACAUUCCAACAAAACUUAUAUUGACCCUUUGCAUGUACAGAUUCAUGAUCAACAAGCAUAUUGCAAUAUGGUUGAGGAAGAACUUGAUGGGGAGCCGUGGUUCCAUGAUAUCAAAGAAUAUAUUUAGACUGGAAAAUAUUCUAUACAUGCCGAUGGUAACCAAAAGAGAACCAUUCGACGUUUAUCUAGUGGAUUUUUCCUAAGUGGAGGAAUCUUGUAUAAGAGGACUCCUGAUUUGGGACUUCUGAGAUGUGUAGAUGCUAAUGAAGCUUCAAAAAUUAUGAAUGACGUACAUUCUGAGAUUUGUGGACCACACAUGAGUGGGUAUGUUUUGGCAAAGAAAAUACUCCGAACAGGUUAUUAUUGGCUCACCAUGGAGUGAGAUUCCAUCAAUUUCGUUCGUAAAUGUCAUAAAUGUCAAGUACACGGGGACUUCAUACAUUCCCCUCCAUCUGAGUUGCAUAUAAUGACUACUCCAUGGCAUUUUGUGGCUUGGGGAAUGGACGUAAUUGGACCAAUUGAACCAAAGGCCUCGAAUGGACAUAGGUUCAUCUUAGUAGCCAUUGAUUAUUUCACAAAGUGGGUGAAAGCAACAGCUUUUAAAUCAGUGACCAAAAAACCAGUGGUUAAUUUUGUUCACUCCAACAUCAGUUGUCGGUUUAGCAUUCCGAAGAUUAUUGUUACAGAUAAUGCUGCAAAUCUUAACAGUCAUUUGAUGCAAGAAAUGUGCCAACAAUUUAAGAUUAUGCAUCGAAAUUCAACUCCUUAUCGCCCGAAAGCGAAUGGAGCUGUAGAAGCUGCUAACAAGAACCUAAAGAAAAUACUUCGCAAGAUAGUUCAGGGUUCCCAACAAUGGCAUGAAAAGUAACCUUUACUUUGUUGGGUUAUUGUACUACAGUUCGGACUUCAAUUGGUGCAACUCCUUACUUGUUAGUGUACGAAAAUGAAGCAGUUAUACCCGUAGAGAUUGAAAUUCCAUCUCUCCGAGUAGUUGUAGAAACUGAAAUUGAUGAUGUCCAAUGGGUCAAGACUCGUUUGGAGCAAUUAAGCUUGAUUGAUGAAAAAAAAUUAACAUUAGUAUGUCAUGGAAAACUAUACUAGAAGAGAAUGGCAAGGGCAUAUAACAAAAAGGUGCGUCACAGACAUUUUGAAGUUGGUCAGUUAGUACUAAGACGCAUCCCACCCUAUCAGAUUGAAGCCAAAGGCAAAUUUUCUUCUAAUUGGCAUGGACCAUUCAUGGUGAAGAAAGUGUUACCUAAUGACGUGUUAUACCUGACUGAUGUAGAAGGAAAAAUGGAAGGAAUGUCGGUCAAUACUGAUACAAUUAAAAGAUAUUAUAUAUGAUAUUCAUGUACAAUUACAUUAUGUAUGUUUUGUACUUACAUUUUAAAAGAUUGAAAUGAUGAAGACAUUUUUUUCUACUAUCCGAAUAAUAUAUCAACCUCUGCCUACCCCUUUUGAGCUUUUAUCUUUUUUUUCGUACCCCUUUUUUGGAAUUAAAUUAAAGUAAAAAAAAUUGAAAAAAAAAAAAAUCAAUCAAAAUUCAAAAUCAAGUAUAAAGAAUGGCAUUUCCUGAACUACGUGUGUCCUGAUUCUUGCUAUGACAAGUUACGUAGGCAGCCCUACUCCGGGGUUCGGUCCAACCAAAAUAAAGUUCAAAUUACCCAGGAUGAAAUAAAACUGGGGCCAAAGUUUAUUUCUUUAAAAGAGUCGAUUCCAAAAGUUGAAUGCUUUACCCAAUGAUUAUGUAAAUUUUUUAGCCUCAUGCCGCCCUUUCUUUCUAACCCAUUUCUAAAAUCCAAGUUACAACCAAAGAAAGACCUUUAGAUCAAUCUUUAAGAAUGUCAAGGCUUAACAUCUUAUGGGUACAUGAUAUUUCAUAUUUUGGGUGUUAUUUUCUCUCUACAUAUAAAAAAAAUGAAUGAAAAUGAGAGAGUCUUAUUGGUGAAAACUCUUUUGGGCACCAUAAGGCGAAUAUGAGCUGAGAAAGAAAUGGAAAUGAGAUAGGCUCAUUGGCAAAAACCCAUUGAGGUGCCACUAGUCGAAGGAGGGUUAUUAUCCAGAAGGAACAAGUUUAAGAUUGGCCUAAUUUUCAAGCUCAAUAAGUGGACGAAAGUUAAUAACGAUUGGUGAUUAGAUCUGGUUGUAUAAUUCGAAAUGCAUGUCAUAAUCACCAGAAUCGGUUUUCACAUUCAAUAAGUUUUUCUUAUUAUUUUGAAAAGAGAUACCUAUUGUCUUUUUUUUUAUUUAUUUUGAUUUCUGAUUUUUGAGUCCUUGUUAUCAAAUGAAAAUUUUUGUUGUCUUUUGUGUGUUGUUGAGUCAAAUUCACGUCAGGUCAAGUGAGAAAGGACUCCAAACUUGCUACCAACUUCUUCAAUAUAUAAAGCAAGACAAAGGGUCGACGCACAAAGACAACAUGUCAAAGAAUAAUAAAGUAUUCGGAAUGAUUGUUGAUUUGGCAAUUUUUGACUCUUUGAAACAUAAAAGGUGUAUGGGAUAAAAAAAUUCUGAGAUAUUAUACAAGAGAAAUGUUUUUUGAGUUGAGAGUCUUAGUAGUCAGAAUUUGGGUCAGAAGUGUGACAAGUCAAUGGAUAUCUAUCAAGGAUUGAAAAAAGAGUUGAACAUGGCAAGUGCUAGAACAGUCACUUUAAGAGCCAAAUACCACAAACCAACCACCACGUGUUUUUAAAACUCAUGACUUUCUUUGGUUUGUUUGAAACAGAAAUAGAAAGUUUUCAAAUAAAGGAUGCAAUUUCACACUUCUGUCAAUGCAAGAAUUAUGAUUACAACAUACGAUGUUGGAUCUCGGUUAUGGUAAAUUUUAUUCUUUGCAAGAUGAAUUUAUCAAAGCUUUUUCAGGCUUUGAUUUAUUCUUUCACUAUACUUCUCAAAACAUUAAGAUUUGAUGACACACAAAUUUUUUCAGUACAAACUAGGGCAAAAUUUUUAUGUGUGUUGUAUGGAAAUUUAAUUUUGCUCAGGACCCUCCUGAAGAAUGGAAAUUUAUUUUAUGCUCAGGACCCUCUUGAAGAAUGGGACAGGACCCUCCUAAAGAAUGAAAAUUUACUUUUUGUUCAGGACCCUCCUGAAGAAUGGGUCUGGACUUUCUUGAAGAAUGAGAAUUUAUUUUGUUCAGGACCCUCCUGAAGAAUAGAAAUUUAUUUUUCUCAGGACUCUCCUGAAAAAUGGAAAUUUAUUUUAUGUCCAGGACCCUCCUGAAGAAUGGGAUGUUAUUUUUAUGUUUCACUAUUUGCUUUGAGUUCAGAAGCCCGCCUGAAGAACAGGGUAAAGAAAUUUUAAGUCUAGGAGCUAGCCUGAAGAAUAGGGUGAAGAAACUGUAUGUCCAGGAGCUCGCCUGAAGAAAAAGGUGAAGAAAUUGUAGAUCCAGGAGCCCGCCUGAAGAACAGGGUGAAGAAAUUGUAAGUCCAGGAGCCUGCCUGAAGAACAGGGUGAAGAAAAAGGAAGUCCAGGAGCCCGUCUAAAGAACAGGGUGAAGAAUUUGAAAAUCUAGGAGCCCACCUAAAGAACAGGGUGAAGAAUUUAUAAGUCCAGGAACCCGCCUGAAGAACAGGGUGAAGAAAUAACAAGUCAGGAGCCCGCUUGAAGAAUAGGGUGAAUUUUCAAAAUCAAAUUGCGAAGAGUAGGACCAAGAUUCUAGAGAUUACAAUUUUCAUUUGUAUUUUUCAUUUUUUUAGUCAUUUAAAUGUAAAAGGUAGAAGUUGUCAGCCGGAAACUUGACGGAAUCUCACUCGACUUUAUAUUUUUCUCUCAACAAAUUACAUUUGAACUACUCGUGACCUGAUUCUCUUAUAAUCCGGGAUAGGUAGGAUGUCCGAAAACAGGACUCGAUCAUAUUUUUUUCUUUUAUUUUAAUUUUAUUUUAUCCUUACCUUUCAAAUAAUUGGAGGGUAAAAAAUCAUAUCUUGACAAUUUCUUUGUAUGAAAACUCUUCGAGAUUCCACACAAAGAGGGGGGAAAAUGUAGACACGUGAUUUUUGAUCCUCUCUAAAUUUUAACUUGUUUAUAGAUAUUAAAAAUUUAUAUUUAUAUUUAAUCAUAUAUUAUUUUGAUUAUUCUUUUUAUUUUUAAUAAAUUUUAGUAAAAAAAAAAUGAAUAAUUUUGCUUUUAUAAAUUCUUAAUAAAAAAAAAUGAUAGUUUUAAUAUUUAUUUUAUUAUAUUUAUAUUUUUCUAUUUAUAAAUUGUUAUUAUGUUAUGUUAAAUAUAAAAUUAAUUAAUUAAUAUUAUAUUUUUUAUUAUUAUUAUUAUAUUUAUUUUUACUUUUAUUUUAUUUAUUUAUUAUUAUUAUUAUCUUUAUUUAUUAUUAUUACUAUUAUUUUCUAUAUAUAAAAAUAAAAAUAUAUAUAUAAAAAAAAUAAUAAAAAAUUGAAUUUUAAAUACCCUUUUUUCCUUAUCUAUUGAUGAGGAAUUCCCUUCUAAAGAAUAACUGUUUCCUCCCUUAAAUCCUUUAUUUAAGGAUUCUCUCUACGUACAUUAUUAGGGAUCAGAUACUAAAAAAUUAAAGUGUAGAAAAAGCCAGUAAAAUUUUUUUUUUUUUUUAAGAAAUCUGAGAGAAAAAACGGUGAAGUCGAAUUUGGAUUCGUGUUCAAGAUUUCGGUGACGAUUGUUGCUUGUUUCAUUAUUCCUUUUGAGUCAAUCACAUGUUUAUUUUUUAUAUCUUGUACCACUCAUAUUAUGAAUUUAUUUUAUAAAUGCAUGAAUAAAGACAAUGUUAAGUUGCUUUAUGCAUUAUUUAGUAAGCAUAGUUAAUUGAUUAUAUGGGUUUAUUAUCAUUGUAUGCUAUUUGAUUAAGUUAUAACAAGUUUAUUUAUGUUUUGAGUAAAAAAAAAAUUGUGUUGUGUUAAUUUUGUUAAAGAUAAUUUGAAAUGAAAAAGAGAAAUAGAUGAAAGAAGUCAACACUAUUUGAUGUACAACAAUACACAUAGAGUAUCAAAAAUUGCAACAAAAUUCAUAUUAAAAAAAAUCCAUAAAAUCAGAUGAUUUAGAGAGCAAAAUUUAAGAGAAAUCAGAUGGUAGAAAAUUGAUUGGAAAAUAUUUUUAUUUCUUGAAGUUCUCUGGCAAAUUCAUAUCGAAAACUCGCUGGGAAAAAUGCUAAAACCAGUAAAAAAUUUAGCAAAUCAGCCAUCAAAACUCCUUCCCAUUGCGGCAUUAACUCCACUAGCCACUUUCUGAGAAUGCAGCAUACGCAUCUUUCUGAGACAUUUUAAAAUUCAUGGAUGCAAUAAUGCCCCUUGAUAAAUAUUUUUCCUAAAAAAUUAAUAUACUAUGAGUUGAUACGAGAAGUGUAGAUAAGUUUAAGUAUAAUUAAAAAUGAGUGAUUUUAAGCCUUAAUAUAAUUUGUUAAAAUAAUUUAAGUCAAGAUAAGUUGAUAAAGCGACCAUACUAGAACCACGAGACUCGAGGGGUGCCUCACACCUUCCCCCCGAUCAACAGAAUUCCUUACCCAGUCUUCUGUUUUUGCAGACCAAUAAAAAGUCAUUUUCUUUUGACUAGGGAUUCAAAAGGUGACUUGAAACACCAUAACUUAAUUCCAAGUGGCGACUCUGUAAAUAAAUUAAUCUCUAUUCAAUACCGUCACUUUAAUUGGAAAAACCCUUCGACUCGAUCCCCUCGAGCGAAAAAAGGGGUGUGACGCCGAGUAUCAAAUGUUGGUUUCUAGUUGGAAUUUGUUAACCCCAAAAGACAAGGUGAUGCACCAAUAUACGAAAUUAAGAUAGAUGAUAUCUCUUCUGAGAUAGCCUAUUGGAGGAAUGUUGUGGUCUGCUACGUUUUGGGGGCGCACCCACCAUUUUCCGUCUUGAAUGGCUAUGUUCAACGACAAUGGGGCAAACAUGGCAUAAACAAAGUUUCGAUGCAGAAAAAUGGUAUACUGCUAGUACGUUUUGAUUCUCAGGAUGGGAAGAAUGAAGUAUUACAGGGAGGAAUAUUUCACUUUGACAAUAAACCCUUCAUUGUCAAGGCAUGGAAUGAAGACAUGGAUUUCACCAGGGAGGAGUUGCGAACAGUACCAAUUUGGGUCAAAUUUCCUGCUUUGAACUUCAAAUACUGGGGUCCAAAAGGUUUAAGUAAAAUUGAAAGCUUAUUUGGCAAACCUCUGAUGGUCGACAAAAACACAAAGAAGAAAAUGGGGUUGAAUUUUGCAAGGCUGCUUAUAGAAGUGGAUGUGGAUGCUCAGUUGCCUGAUAAAGUGUUCUUUCGAAAUGAGAAAGGAAUACUAAUUGAAUAGAGAAUCCAGUAUGACUGGAAACCAAUGCUUUGUAAGUACUGUCAAAAGUAUGGACAUGCGGAGGAUGAGUGCGAGAAAAAGAAGAAACCUGAACAGAAGAGGGAAGAACCUAAGGAAACUGUGGUAAAUAAUACACAUGGGAAGGAGAAGGGUGCCGAAUCAACAGAAAUACAACAUGUAAAGGGCUAAAAAGUAGAGGAAAAACAAUAUUUGGGGAAGAAGGAUAGACAAGGGGAACAAACUGGUUGGAUAACUCCAACAAAUCCUAGCAAAUUACUAUUAAGGAAGACAGGGUAUAGGCAAACAAACGUGAAUCCUUUCAAUAUGUUAAGAGAAGGUGAUAAUAGUGUCAUUGCAGAUUGCCAGGUUCAACAUGAGGGUGGCAAGGUUGUGUCACCUACGGGAGAUGGAUAACAUUUUAUGUUGGAAUGUUAGGGGCAUGAAUGCCCCUAACAAGCAAAGGGAGGUAAGACUCCUUUGUAAUAAAGAAAGCACUGGUCUAGUAGCCUUAUUAAAGACAAAAAUAAAGGUAGAUAAAGUGAGUCAAAUGGCAAAUAGUAUGUUUGGAGAUUGGGGUCAUAUUACUAACUAUGAGAAGCACUACAAUGGUAAAAAAAAUGUUGUUUUGGAGACCGAAUUACUAUAAAGUCAAAGUAAUAGCUAGCACUAGUGGCAGCAGGUAUACAUGGAAUGAUAGGCAUGGAAACAAUAGGAUUUAUUCCAAGUUGGACUGGGCAUUUGUCAAUAAUGAAUGGUUGGACACUAUACCAAUGAUAAAGGUGCAAUUUUUAUGGGAAGGAAUAAGUGAUCACUGCCCUUGAAGAUUACAAAAGAGGGCAGGAAUAACACACAGAAAAGAGCAUUCAAAUACUGCAAUCUAUGGACAAAGCACCCACAGUUCCUGGAGAUUGUUAAGGAAGUCUGGUUAACUCCCAUAUAUGGAUGUAAAAUACUUCAGGUAGUGAAGAAGCUAAAAUUGUUGAAGAAGAGAUUGAACAACUAAAUAAAAUCUAUUGUAGCAAUAUUUUUGCUGAAGUUGAAGAGGAUAGAGAUGUGUUAAUACAGGUUAAAAAUAAGCUACACACUGAUCCAAACAAUGCUAGCCUACAGCAGGAUGAAAAGGAAAAAAAUUAGAGAUUCAGGAGAUCAUCUUAUAUGGCAAAAAUUUUCUUACAACAGAGGAGUAAAACAAAUUAGUAGCAACUAGGAGAUGACAACACUAAAUACUUUUAUUCCAUUAUCAAGAUGAGAAGGUUAUAACAAGCUAUCACACAAAUAAAGGAUGAGCAUGGAGUCCUGCACACUAAUCUAGACAAAGUAGCACAAAUAAUGGUGGAAUACUGUGACAACAUGCUAGGCAAAGAAGCAGUAAAUAGAGUCAGAACAGCUGAUAAUAUCUUGAUGAAUGGACCUCAGAUCACCUUGACACAACAGAUGGAGUUGAUAAAGACAUAUACAGAGGUAGAGACAAAUAGGCCAUGUUCAAAAUAGACAUCAACAAAAGUCCAGGACCUGAUGGCUAUGGCAGUGGGUUUUUUAGAGAAGCUUGGAGUUUGAUUGGUGAGGAUAUCACAGGAGCAAUAUUUCAAUUCUUAGAAAAUGGUAAAUUACUUAAAUAAAUAAACUCUACUAUGAUAUCUUUAAUUCCAAAGGUGAAAGUGCCAAAAUUGGCCAAUCAAUAUAGGCCAGUCUCAUGUUGUAAUGUGUUGUACAAGUGCAUAUCAAAAGUGAGUUGUUUGAGAUUGAAAGCAGUACUUCCUAGUCUAGUAAAUGGAUCCCAAGCAGCCUUUGUAGAAGGAAGAUCACUAAUCCACAAUGUGCUAAUUUUUCAUGACUUGUUGAGACACUAUAACAGGAAGACAACAACUAGGUGUUUAAUGAAAAUAGACUUGAGGAAGGCUUAUGACAUGGUCAAAUGGAAAUUUAUUGAAGAAGCUUUAAGGGGAUAUGGCUUUCCAGAAUCCUUUGUCACUAUGGUAAUGAUUUGUGUGACUACAACAAGUUUUUCUGUGAAGAUAAAUGGAGAGGGCUAUGGCUAUUUUGAAGGCAAGGGGGGAUUAAGACAGGGGGAUCCCAUAGCACCCCUAUUGUUUGUUUUGGUAAUAGAGUACCUGUCAAGACUAUUGAGCAAAAUGAGUGACCUACCAGAUUUUUAUUUUCACCCAAUGUGCAAAUCGACCAGGUUAACUCGCUUGGUUUUUGCAGAUGACCUUAUGAUCUUUUGAAAAGGAGAUAUAAAAUUAGUGUGUAGAGUAAAAGAGCCUUUGGAGCACUUUAGUCAAGUGACAGGAUUACAUGCAAAUUUGGAUAAAUCAAACAUCUUUAUUGCAGGAGUUGAUGAUGGUUUGAAACAGCAAAUACUUCCACUACUGGUUUCUCUUUGGGCACUCUACCUAUUAGAUAUUUAGGACUCCCACUUGCAUCCAAAAAAUGGACAAAGAUAGAGUGUCAACAGUUAGUGGAUAAAAUUAUCACAAGAAUACAAAAUGCAUAUGCCAAGUACUUAUCCUAUGCUGGCAGAUUGCAAAUAGUGAUGGCGGUGCUAUUCUCUAUUUACAACUUUUGGUGUACAGUUUUCAUUUUGCCUCAGAGUGUGGUGAAGCAGGUAGACAAAAUAUGCAAAAAUUUUCUAUGGAGUGCUACAGAAGGUAAAAGAAAGAUAGCUCUAGUUGCAUAGGAAAAUUUGUGUGUACCAAAGAAGUAUGAAGGCCUAAAUAUUAAAGGAUGUGGAAAUUGGAAUAUUGCUUCAGUAGGUAAACUACUAUGGCAAGUGGCUAUGAAGGUAGAUGUGUUAUGGGUGAAAUGGGUGAAUGGAAUAUAUAUGAUAGGUACAACAAAUAUAUGGGAACACACACACCCAGCUGAUUCCAGUUGUUAGUGGAGGAAAUUAAAUGGUCUCAAGACACAGAUGGUUGCGUGGUAUCAAAAUGGAAGAUAUGUGCUGACUUGUUCAGGAUCAUAUUCAAUUUCAUGUAGUUACCAUGCUCUCAAAGGAGUACAUCCAAGAUUAAAGGAGGCUGAACUAUUUGGAGCUCAGUCAUGUUGCCAAGACAAAGAUUCACUGCCUGGCUAGCCUGUAAGGGAAGAUUGCUAACUAAAGGAAGAUUAAUCAAGAUGAAAAUACAUAUAGAUGAUCCUAACUGUAGUUUAUGUGGUGAAAGUAUCCUGGAAACAUAGAAACAUCUCUUUAUGAAUUGCAAAUGGACAACAGAGGUGAAGGAACUUUUACAGGCAUGGCUUGGAAUCAAAUUCGAAAACAAGGAUUGUUAUGAAAUCUUUCAAUGGAUCAAAAGGAAAAGAUGGAAAUUAUUUGGGAAAGAAAUUGUUGCAGCAGUAUACGGAGUCCUGAUUUACCACAUAUGGCAGGCUAGAAAUAGGAAGAUAUUGCAACAAGUGAAUACUAAUGCGGAAGUUGUUACUAUGCAGAUACAACACGAAGUGAGGGAGAGAAUAGAGAUACUUAGAGGCUCAAAGAGGACACAGAAGUGUAGCACUUUGAUAUAACAGUUGUGUACUUAGAUGUGGUGAUUCCUUGAGCUCUAGCUGUUCUCUCCCAGAACACUGGAGGCUCUUUAGAUUGUAAACCUUGUUGUUUGUUAAUGGUAAUCUUUCACAUUUUUUACCAAAAAAAAAUGAUUUAUAAUCACACAAAUAUCUUACCCUUAUUUUAGACCAGAAAUUUCAAAAGUCUUCUUUAUUUCUUUAACUCCAUGUCAAUUUAAACCAACUCACAUAAAUUGAGAUAGAAAGAAUAUACUAUUAUAUUGAUAUUGAUAGUGUAAAACAGUAAUUGUUUUUUGUUCUAGCUGUAUCGUAAGUAAAGUCCAAAAAGCAUAAAGCAAAAGAAGAUAAGGUAGUGUGCGCAGGAGGAGAUAGUGAAUGAGCGGAUUACAAAGGACAGAAGAAGAGAAAAGAAGCAAGGGCCCAAAACAGCAAGAAUCCAUUUAAAACGCCAAAAAUACACUAACAGACACCUGAAUAUAGCUGUUUUGAAUUAUGGGGUUUUCGUUUUCAGAAUUUUCUUAAACAGUGUGAAUAUGUUUUGCUCAUUCUAGGAGGUUUCUUCUUCUGAUUGCUUUCAACAGUCAUCCCACCAAUCACAGAAUCCACAUACAUACAUGAUACAUCCCUCCCCUCCUGCCAUUUUAAAGUUUUGUUUUGUUUCUCAUCCGGUGUCCCAUGUCCGGUACCGCAUCGGAGCCCGACUAAUCUGGAUUUGCGCCGGUAGGAUCCCAUUCGAGGAGUAGCGCUCCCAACAGAGUUUUUUUCAUGUCCAGAAUAUAAUCCUCGACCUCUGAUUAAGGUGGAGUAGCCUCAUCCGCUGCACCACAACCCAUAUUGGUCCUGCCAUUUUAAAGUUAUGCAGAUAUAUAUUAGUGAUGUACCUAGUUAUUAGUAGUUAUCUUAUAUUCUACUUUGCAUAAAAUAAUGUAUCAGUUGUCAAGAUUCUAAAUUGCUAAACAAAAGCCGUGCUUGACGUAUUGCAUUUUAUACAUAGCAAAGAAAUGCUACCAAGCAUGUGAUACUAGAUAUAUGGGAUUUAGUACAUGAAUAAAUCACCUCCUAAUUAACGACAUAUCUCUUCUUAAAAUGACUUUUUAAGGUGUAAGAAUGGAGAUCACAAUACAAUAGCCAACCAAUGGUGUGAUUUUAAUUUUGGGCAGGGAAGGGAGGCUGGCUUUUAUUUAAUUGGUCUUUUACGGUUUUUUUUUUUUUUUUUAUUUACGGCAUGUUAUUCAAUAAUUAUGUUUGAGUCCAACUAAAUUAAUAUUUAUGAUAGGGCUCACUUACGAUAUCAUGUCAUUAUUGCAAAGGAGUAUUAGGCUGAUUUGUUUGCAUUUAAUGGAGGUCUGAAUCUGAAUGGUUCAGAUUUCAGUUCAUUAAGUGCAUUUUUUUUUUUUUUAUAACUGCCUCUUAGUGUGUCUGAAAUCCUCUGAUAUAUUCCCUCAAAACUCUCUCACUUUAUUAUUUUCCUCUUUAUAUAUGUGUAAAAUGAAUUAAAAUAACUUAAUUUAUUAUCAAAUGAAUUAUAAUGCAAUGGAUUAUAAUACUAGUAAUUCACAUAUUGAAUUAUUUAUUUUCCUCUCUCAUUUGACAAUUAUUUAUUUUCCUCUCACUUUGUUAUUAAAAAUAUUGAACUAUUCUAGUAAUUAUAACUUACACCACAAAACUCUCCCACUGUUGUAGUAAUUCAUUUUAUAAUUACAUCUUAUCACAAUAAUUUUUAAUCGAUAUAUCUUUUUUUUAAUAAUUAGAUAGUUCAAUAAUUACAUUUAACAUAAUUUAUUUAUUUAUAUUUUAAAAUAUUUUAAUUAUCACGCAAAUAAUGUUUGUUGUUUAAGUUAAUACUCUAUCUAAAUAUUUUUUUAAUAUAAUAUUUUUUUACUUUUUAAAUUUGAAUUUCAUAUUUAUUACAAAUAAAUAAAUUACAUAUAUUCAGAUGUUAAAAAAAAAAAAACAGUCUUAAUCAUGUAGUAUUCAGAUUUAGAAACAACAUCUUAAUCAUUCAGACAUCCAUUUAGAUUCAGACGUCUUGAUCUUAAAAAGAAAAAUGCACCCUUAUUCGGGAACGCAUCUAAAAAUGAAUUAGAAGACUUCAGGUUCAAAAUGAGGCAGGUAGCACACAGUGGCGAAGCCAAGAAUUUAACAAAGGGUGUAUAAUUUUUCUUUCCAAUUAUGUUCAGGGUGUGCAAAAUUAAAUAUUUACUCAUAAUAGCUAACAUUUAACUUUUAUAGACCACGUAAUUACUCUACGAAUAGUGUUCAUCUGACCACUCUUCGUUUAAGGUGGCUCCGCCUAUGGUAGCACACAUUCGAGUACCAUUUUACUAUUUACUCCUACAAAAAUAUUUCCACAGGGGAGAAAAUUUGGCUAUUAAGUCUUUUUAAGUUUCUAAUUAGCAAAAUGUCCAAUCCUCUUCAAGUUUUCAAUUAGCAAAAUAACCUACUUUUAUUUUCUCAUUUGUCGGACAGAUAAUAGAUCUGUCGGAUUGAUAAUCAAUCUGUCUAUAUAUCUGUUGGAUAGAUAAUAGAUUUGUCGAAUUUAUAAUUAAUUUGCCUAUAUAUCUGUCGAACAGAUGAUAGAUCUGUCUUAAAAAUGGGUCAUCUCACUAAAUAAAAAAACUUACGGUUCAUUUAAUUAAAAAAUAGACUUAAAAGGUCUAUUUAACAAAAAGUUCCCCCACAAUGUAUUUGGAGUUUGUUUCGUAGAGUGUAUAAAAACAACGUAAAAUAUGAUAUAUUAGUAAUGUUUGUGUUAGCUAUGUUUGCAUUAGUUAUGUUUGUAUUUUUUUCUUAUGCAGUGUUUGGUUUGACGUAUUAAAAAUAACAUGAAUUACAUAGUUUCAAAAAGAAAGUUACAAAAACACCCUUCAUACAUAUAUUGGAAAGGAUGCGGAAAACAUGGGGGAUUAUUGUGUUUUUAAUAUGCUAAUUGUCACACCCCCUUUUUAACGUACUCUAAAAAGAUAUGGUUAUUUUAGUUUAAAGUCCAAAAGGGUUUUAUUAUUUAAGUGACAAGAAAUGAAAAUUUGUUUCGGAAAAAGGAUUAUUUACAUUUUUUAUUCAGAGUCGCCACUUGGCAUAAUCCGGUGUGCCAAGUCACCAUUAGAAAAUCCUUUCCCAAACCAUUUGACUCUUUAAACUGGUUUGCGAACAGAGAUUCCGACUAAGGAAUUUUGUUGACCGAGGGGAAGGUGUUAGGCACCCCUCGAUCCCGUGGUUCAACCACGGUCGCUUGGUAGAGUGUAUCAACUAUUUUGGCAUUACGAAAUGUAUAAACCACACAAAAGCAUGCAAAAUAAUCAAACAAUAAACAAAACAAAACAAUCCAAAAUGUAAAACCCAGUCAAAAAAAUAAAUAAUGCGGAAAUAUAAAUUUAUUCUAUCCUAGACUAAUCCUAUGCUACACUCUAACGCUUCACCCGAUGCCUCGGGCCUUCACCACGAACAUCUUCCAAGCACAAGGUACUUCGGGGCAUUCCUCGGGUAAAUCAAUACAAAUCCUUCGAGGCAUUCCUCGGCCAAAUGAGUACAAUUUAAACUUUUCGUGCAAUAAAGUAGAAAGUACCAUUCAUGCAUAUAUUCAAACACUCCAACAAAUCAUUAUUUCUAAAUUUGACUACCCGACCUACAUUUGCCGAUCCAAGUUCAACAUNNNNNNNNNNNNNNNNNNNNNNNNNNNNNNNNNNNNNNNNNNNNNNNNNNNNNNNNNNNNNNNNNNNNNNNNNNNNNNNNNNNNNNNNNNNNNNNNNNNNNNNNNNNNNNNNNNNNNNNNNNNNNNNNNNNNNNNNNNNNNNNNNNNNNNNNNNNNNNNNNNNNNNNNNNNNNNNNNNNNNNNNNNNNNNNNNNNNNNNNNNNNNNNNNNNNNNNNNNNNNNNNNNNNNNNNNNNNNNNNNNNNNNNNNNNNNNNNNNNNNNNNNNNNNNNNNNNNNNNNNNNNNNNNNNNNNNNNNNNNNNNNNNNNNNNNNNNNNNNNNNNNNNNNNNNNNNNNNNNNNNNNNAAACCCAAAUAGAAAUCAAAAACACCCCAAGAUCUCAAAUUCGAAACCCCAACCCAUCGAUUUCCAACUAACCUUGCACGAACUAAACCAACUCGAUAUCGAGGAAUAGCAAACUCGGAUGGAUUUAAAACCCUAAGAAAUAAGAAAUAUCAAAAGAACCGAGACUGAAAUUAUGAAAAAUCGAGAAGACCCAUACGCGAAAUCUCGUCGGACUCAACUCAAAUCUCGCCGGAAUCGAUGGAAAACGGGUUGGGUAUCGUUGAUUGGUCACCGGCUUCACUGUUUCCGAUGCCUGCUGCCGUCGCCGGAGAGAGGUCGGGUCGGGUCGGCGGCUGGAGGAGCAGCUCGUGUUAGCCUUUUGAGGCGGCACCGUCUCUGGCUGGUCGGCGUUUGAGCGAAGGAAGAGGAGGACGAGAGCAGGAACGGCGACAGCGCCGGCGCUGUUGUCGCCGAUGGGGGCGGCGGCACCGCUGCUUUUUUUUUUUUUUUAGUUUUGGAGAGAGAGAGAUGGUAGAGAGAGGGAGAGAGGUGGCUGGUUGUUGAGUUCACCGGACUCCGGCAUCGUUGGCUGCUACUGUUGCACGUAUUCUGACGAAGUUUUUUUUCGGUGAUGAAUGUGUAUAUGACAUUUUUGUAGGUUCCAGAUGAGUGAUGCCUAUGUCUUUCCCUUUUGUUGUGUAUAUGGGUGAUUGUAU
This 81317-nucleotide long non-coding RNA is filed under the name Capsicum annuum. RNAcentral describes it as "long non-coding RNA (CANN_LNC003704)". Lineage: Eukaryota; Viridiplantae; Streptophyta; Magnoliopsida; Solanales; Solanaceae. The record is from RNAcentral.